UUGUGUAUGUGUUGAAGAAGGAAGAGGGGGGGAGGCAUUCGCCGUUCUUUUCGGGUUACAGGCCUCAGUUUUACAUGAGGACCACUGAUGUCACCGGGAAGGUGACUUCGAUUAUGAACGACAAGGAUGAGGAGUCGAAGAUGGUGAUGCCUGGCGAUCGCGUUAAGAUUGUUGUCGAGCUGAUUGUUCCGGUGGCGUGUGAGCAGGGGAUGAGGUUUGCUAUCAGAGAAGGAGGGAAGACUGUUGGAGCUGGCGUUAUUCAAUCCAUUAUCGAGUGAUAGAAAAUAGAAAUUAUGUGGUGGUCUGAACUUAUUUUUGCAAUUUGGUGUCAAACUUGAACUCUCUUAGCUUCAAUUUUAUCUAGCUUUUGACAUUUCCAAGCAAUUUCCACAACGAAAUGUUAUAUAUUUUGUAGGUUUCAUCAUCCCAAUUUGCUCUGCUUUUUUUGAUGAUUCAUUUGUUAGUUUGAUUCCUAGCUUGGUCAUGUGAGAUCGAGAGAUGCGGAUGUAUUCCCGGUUCUGCCAUGGUUGUAUGGCAGAACGAGUGAGGUUUCACGCCGGAUUCUUAACAUAGUUAUGCGAGAUCGAGAGACGCGGAUAUACUCCCGGUUCUAUGGCAAAACGAGUGAGAUUUCACGUCGGAUUCUUAACUUCGCUAAAGCUUUGCACUCCCAAGUCCAUGUUCAAUUUGAAACUCCAUCGACUCAAAAUGUUUCUGUUUUUUACUCUAAAACAGCUUAAUCAAAUUAUGACUCGAGUUAAUUACAAAAUACUUGAGUCCUAACCAGUCGAGAUAAAAAUUUCUUACCGAUUUGCCAUGCCGCCGGUGUGUGAGCUUCGAACAGAAUGGCCGCGAGAUUGCCUAAACAUUGGGCGGGUGUAAAUUUGGUACUCGUAUAUAGAUUAGUAAAGAUAAUAUGUUCACUAAACAUGCCGUACUCUGCUAAUUAUAGAAAGUCUGCCUUUGAAACAGGCUGUUUAAAUAUAAAUAGACAUUUAACGACAGAUUGUAUACGAGGUUGUAUACAUAUUGCCUUGCUGCAGACAAAUACUGUCCAUCUCAAAGACAACUUCUCUUUUAACUUACUUACCUAAUAUAGAAACUAUCUUACUUCCUAAAACCUUGCUCCACUGUGUAUGCUGAGAGUGCCUGAUGAUACACCGUCCUUGGCGACUACGAUCAGUCUUCGGCUUCCUCCAGAAAGCUUUGUAUUCCGAUGAGUUCAUAUGUCCAAGAAUAUGGUUGAUGCAAUCAGCCCUUGCACGAAUGCCGCCCUCUGCCUUCUCUCUUCUUUAUCCUUUUCACAAGCUUCAUCUGGGGGAGAUGGAUCGGUGCUGCACAGACAAAAUGCAUCAGUAACGUCGCAUCAACAGCAUCACCAGGAUAUAUUAUUCGACAAGAUUAGUUACUGAAGCCAGUAGAACUUGCAGCUCAGUCAUGUCAGCCAGGACUCUGGCUAACAAAGCAAACGAAGGGCAAUGGAAAGUUUAGGGAAUAAAUUAAUAUAAAUCGAUGGCUCGUCACAUUUUUGGUUCAACCGAAGGAGCAUUAAUAACUAGUGCAUUGACAUGCUUAACGACAAAUAUCAAGAUAAAAUGAAGUGAAAAAAAAUAUGAAACAAUUUAAUACUUCACCCUGUUGGAACAGACAGCAUGAUUCUAUACUGGAUGACGCAAUGGUUAAAGAGAUAACGACAGUUUUUGCGUGACAUAUAACUCACAAGAUAAACCUAUGCUAAUAACGAAAGGGUUUCCAUCUCUCCAGCAGAAAACUCACUAACUGCCUGCCCUUCACUUUUAAUUCAAAAGAGGAGUAGGUUGGAAGCGAAGAUAGCAUAAUAUUUCAAAAGUACAGAACCCAGGUAACAUAAAAAAGCACUAUCUCAUAAUUCAGAUGAUUAAUCAACUAAUCAAAUAUAUGCAGUUAAGGGAUCAACCAAACAUAGAAUGAUAGCAAACUAAUUAGAAAAAGUUCCAAAACCAAUAACCAAACAGAGUUAAAUGGUGUUCAGGGGUCACUAGGAAAGUAAAAGAUUCAAUAAGAGGUUACUAGACAAAUGAAGGCAACUAGAGAAAUGAGAUAAUCGCAUAUCGUGGAUAGCUUAGAUCUAACAGAAACAACAAUUUAAUGCAUUCACAAAAUUAAAGAUCUUCAAGAAUUUGAAACAGCCGAUGAAAAGCAGAUUUAGCUGCAAUUAAGAAUUUCAUAGAUACCAAACUGUUAUUAGGGUUGGUAUUAUGUAUACACAACAAAUCUUCUGUUUAUGGAAAGCAUAUAAACAGCAGAUCUUUCAUAUUAUCGAAACAUUAAUACGAUGUUUCAACCAAUUUUUUUUUUUUGGUCAAAGAUGUUUCAACAAAUUAGUUUCUGCCUUAUGAGAUCAUGAUAUACCUGGGUUUGCAAAGACCCAUUUACUAUUAUAUCAUCCAUUCAUAACAUGGUGCAUGUUAAAACAAAAGAUUUCUCAAGUUUGCAAUCCCUAUUAAUCUCACGCUCAAACAAUCACUAAUAUGGUAUAGUUAUACUUUCAUAAAACAGCAAAAGGAAUUUACCUUUUCAUGCCGGAAGUGAUAGGGGAAUCAAUAUCUGAACAAACAUCUUCGGGGAUACCUGUAGGGUCUGAAAAUGAUAUAUUGCAGAUAAAUGGUGAGAGGAGAGGAUCAGGUGCAGUUUCCUGUGCAUAUGUCCUUCCAUGUUUAAGCAGUGCCUUCCCCAGCAUUGCUGAACUACCAGUCCACAAACCGGAUUUUUGAGAUUUUCUCCUGUGCUGAAAGCACACAGAUGAAUCCUUUAAGGUUCCGACAAUGAUCAACAGAGCUAUCCGCUAAAUUCACUAUUACGAAGCCUUGAUCCAAUAUAGGUAAUAAUACCUUGAAGGAGCUUCCAUGGUGCACCAUAAAAUGUCCAAUUACAUCUUUCCCCAGAUUCGCAGCGCACAAAGGACAAACCUGGAAUAGCAGGAUUAAAGCAGCCAUCAGGUUCAAAUUCUAGCUGAAACAUCUAUCAAUUUCAAGCAGCAUCUUUUUUGUAAUCAAUAUAUCAACGUUCUUCAUUGGAUAGUUCAGUAAUGACUCAAGAAUCCAAUUUUGAUAACACUAAAUCUCCUUUUUAAUCGCACACAACAAAAUAUUAGGUAAAGAAAAGCACUUACUGCAUUUUUAAAGUCAAAGCAGUGUUCUUCCUCCAAGUGGCUGCAAAGCACUGGGACUUCAAUAUCCACAUAACAGAAAGGGCAUGGAAAACACGAUUUUGUGUCGUCAUCUCCUUCAGAAUCUUCCAAACCCAUAUGAUUAUCUGUUUAAUAUAGAAGAUCGAAGAUCGAUCAAUAGGUGUAUAAAUCACACAGGGUAUCUAUAUAUGUACACGUGUAUAUGUGCACACAGGUGGAUUUAGCAAAGCAAGUCAAAAGCUUCGAGAAAGUUGAUCUCAGUAUUUAAAAGAAAGUACUUGUCGUUUCAAUUACAUCAACAUCCCCAAUAUUCAGCCGUUUAAACUACGAGAUCAAACACAUGCAGACAAGCGCGCAUGCACACAAUUCACACGGACACGUAAAUAACCAUAUUAGAAUGAUAGAACCUAACACCCAGCUAUUACUCCGGCCCCAAGAAACUACUAAAGUGAACACUUUGCCUCGCAUUAGGUGAUCAAGUAUGGGAUAUUCAUGAAACAAACACCACUUGAUUCUUAUCAAAAAGACAAUAAACAGAGAGCCUAAACAAAUAUGAAGGCAUCUUCUUAUCUAUACACUGCAUAAGCUACAAAUGAAUUAACCAGUCUCAACAACCAUCCGAAGCAGAUUUUUCAUCAUUCUUGAUAUGUUUUUCAAUCUCAAUCGAGCCCUUAAAUUUCUCACAUUCAUGAAUAACACUAGAAGCAUUAUUCACAAAUAACACUAGAAGCAUCAUUCUCAGAUUUUCCUUCACCCAAAGCCUCAGACAAAAGGCUUUUUGCUUCCUUCAAUAUCUGCUCUCACAGUCUCUCCAGAUCUUCCCAAGAACGCUAAAGUUCUGAUUUUUGUACAUUCCCCUCUCUGAAAUUUUCAUGCCGAUUAUAUUCUUCAUCUUCACUAUAAUUUUCCACAUCUUCUUCUACCCCAGUAUAAUUUAUCAGGCUGAUAAAUCCCCCUAAUCUUUUUUUGUGGUGUUGAUAACCUCCCAUUAUAAUUAAACUUCCUCCAACCUAAUUAAUCAAAGUAACAUCUUGAUAUCCAUGUGGUCUAUACCAAACCCUAAAUUCUAUUACAAAUUCAGGGAUGCAAAUAAUCACACAAAUAGGAAAGUUUUUAUGAACAAAUCUAGGAAACUUGAUAAAAUUACCUAAUCUAGCAUCAUACAAGAUAUGGAAAAUCUCAGAUUCUCCGGACUUUUUAUUUUAUUAAAUGGGAUAUUUUCCAAUAUCUCCCCACAAGAAAAAUACCCCAUAUAUUUCAGGAUAAAACAUUAUCUGCUUGAAAGUUCAAGCAAAAAUAGUUCAUUUAAACAGGGUUUAACAAACAAUUAGUCAAAAACAAUGUGCCAAUUUCUUUCUUAAAUCCAACCAAAGCUCUCAACUUUAAUUGCAACCCAGUUCUUGAAAUCCCACACGCAAGCCAUUGCUUUACUCAAACAUCAAAAAGAAGAACCUCAAUUGGUGCAAGUUUUGUUAAAUUCAAGGACCUCAAUGAACGGAUUUUUAGUUCGGAGACCCAAUCUAAAUUACGGUGAAAGUUAGGACCGAUUCUAAAUUUUACUCGACACAAAAUGUCGAAGUAAAAAAUAAAAUUCAGAAAAUUGAAGUACCAUAGUGAAGCCUUGCAGCAUGAGCAGCAGAGAGGCUCUUAGCUGCGUGAACCCUGGAAGCCCACAAGUCAACGUCCAUGGUGGUGGUUCAACUCUCCGGCGACCCAAGUCAGCUUUUCCCGGCUAGAACCGGUGGAAACCGCGCCCUUGGGAAAUGGGUUGGGACCAAAAGGCUUAAAGUUUCAAGCUUUGAGAGAGAUUUUGGGGUGUGGGUGUGGUGAAAGCUUACUCACUCUCCCCUCAUAUAUUGCUCCGACACCGAAAGCUUUCCCUACACACAAAAGAUAGUUGAUGGAUAUGUGACACGUGGAAUUUUUAUUUAUUUAUUACACCAUUUGCUUUUUUAUUUUCUUGAGUUAAAUAAUUGUACGUUUAAUUGCAGUUCUGCUUGUUAAUUGUCAAUCUUUUUGUCAAAGUGCAGAGAAAACCAUGGUUUUAAUCUAUUUUUUUAUUUAUUUAUUUGAAUAUUAUAUUUGCUUUCUGCUGCAUUUGACAUGUAUUAAAGCGGGAUUAGUCUAAUUAAAUGAUUAAUGAGAUUGUUUAAUGACUCGUGUGAAAUAACCUUUCUGCACAUCACAUGGGAGCUUUUGGCAGGUCUCGAAAGAUGCCACUGAUGCUGAUGUUGAACAUCUUUGGGUUCUUUAUCUUAAGUCUGAAUGACGUGAGGUAAUUUGGUUUCAUUUGGAUUCUCGUUAUUUUAUAAAGAACAAGGAAACAAAGAAGUAAAGGGUGAGGCAAUAAUCUACCGUUUCGCUUCUACAAUGUUCUGAAUCGUUACUUGGAGUUUUUAGAUUUGAUUGUUACUUAAAAUCUUUAGAUCUGAUUUAAUGAUUGUUCAUAUGCAUUUAACAGACGUUGGACUGGAUUUGAAGACUCUAAGUAGCAGGGUAUUCAAUACUUCAGAGUAUUAUUGAAUAGCUUUGUUGAGAAGUAUGUUGAUUGUUGUAAAUUCAAUGUAAUGUUGCUUUAAAUGUGGCUUUUAUGACGUUCUAAUAUUCAUGUUUUUUAUGAAUUGAAGAUUUGGAAUUCUAAGACAACAUAUUUUGCUUUCAAGGAGUAUAUAUUUAUGAGAGUGUCUCGAUCAUUACGUGAUCAAUCAUUCAGUAUUUAUACAUUAACUUGGCAACCUGUGAUCUAAAAGAUGCAUGUGAAAACAUACUUCAUUAAGAUAGGUAACAACUUUACUUUCUUUCUAAAUAUAAUUUGAUCAUAAUAACGUAUCGCGGAUUUUAUGUUUAGAAUCUAUUUGAUAACAAUCCUAGCAUGUGCCGCCUUGACAAUUACAUGUUGAGUGUCCCACUUACAUCCAACCUGUCGGGGUUUUCCAUCUCGUGCCCUAAACAGAAAUUGAAACUAAUUAGGUUUUAGGUGAUUAACUUUGAUAAAUAAGAUUAAUAAGGCAAAAAAGAUGGGAAAGCAAAUGGGGGUGACAAGGACAACCUAAAAACCAAAGGGCCAAGGCAGAGAAAGGCAAGGCAUGCAGUAACAAGUUGGACAAAAAGUUGCUUUAGUAAGGAGGAAGGUGCAUUACACCUACAAAAAGGGCCAAACAACAACUGCUCAAAAGCCUGUGGUGGCACAACAUCUUCUCAUACAAAAACAGAUUAAAGAGAGCUCAAAGGUUGAAACCCAUCAAAGGGGUUUUGUAAUUCUUUUAUUUUUUUCAUUUAUAAACAGUCAUUAUUAGAGGCUAGUGUUCCAUUAGUUUAGUGGUAAAACAAUGGGAUGGUUUGCUUGGCAUGAAAGGAACUUACCAAAAGCUAAAAAGACAUAAGAAAAAGAACUAAGGUAUUGUAUGGCUGCUAGGACUCGACCAAAUUAUCUCAGUUGAAUUAGACUAGUAUCUUGUUACUUUUGUUGAACUUACAAAUGCUUAAACUGAGUUAUUGAAUUGGAAAACAGUCCAUCAUAGUGUGUCAUCCAAGUGUCGUUUGAAAGUAUUGGAUGAAUUAGGAUUGACUUGUACACGAUUCUAUCCUAGUCCAAUCCCAGUCACCAAACAAGUAUAAUGGCAUCACAACAUAUAUGAGUGGAUCCCAAUUGGCAUUUUGGGUGAUUUGGGCUACUCAAAAGAACUAAUGUUCGGGCUGAACUCAUAUUUUCUUUGAUCAAUGUUAGGAAGGACUUAGCCUAAAGUUUGAGAUAUUAUGAAGAGCGUCCACUAUUAGACAGGCCCUAAGGUGUUCAUGAUAGGGAAAGCUAGCUAGGAAAUCUUUUGAUGAAGAUCAAAGACCCAUUUAAACAAAUUUUUAGGCAGAUAAUAUGCUUUCAAUGGAUUUUUUUUAGGGACAAGUAUACAAUCCAUGAGGGAGAAUUCAUGGCCUUUUUGGAUUUUUGUCUGAUAAUUUGUUAACACCAAGCUUGCAUAAAGAGAUAAUCUUUUACAUAGACCAAUGAAGAUAUAGAUAUGUUAUUUGUCCCUUGAUCUGCUGCUUCCAUGUUCAAACGUUUACGAUAUCAAAAGGAGUGGGACUGACAAAAGGUUAAGCUAUAUACCUUUAUGAGUUUAGAGCCAUAUAUUGGUGGGGAAUGGGAAUGAGAAUGUUGUUGAAGAAUACAAGAAUUCUUCUUCGGAAGACGGACAACACUAUAUGUGAGUUAUAUUGUGUGGUUUCACAUCUGCUAUGUCGUUCAGAUGAUAAGAUACAAGUUUGAGGAUAAUAUCUGUGUGAUUGAUAGUACGCUGAUAACCCAUUUAUCUGAAAUCUUGACAAUUACAAUAAUAUUUCUCCCAGGUUUUAUGACACAAUGAUUCCUCCUCAGUCCUCAUUCCUUGUACUAACCUAGCUAUGGCCCAGGGCCAAAUUGACUCUCUCAUUACCAUCAUUGAGCUGAUAAAAAAGUAAAUAAAGAUGAAUGAUUAUAGUACUCAAUUAAGAAAACUUAGAUUGUGUUUUAAGCUGACAAGAAGAUCUGAUGAUAGAUACACACACACACACACACAUAGCUGGAAUAUAUAUACCCACCUAUGGAUCAGUAUAAUACACACGACACAAAACAUUAGUCAUAGAAAGAAAAUGAAAGAAUUUGAAAGAAAAUGAAAAUGUUAUCAUAUAUAUGAAUGUGUGUAUAUAUAUAUAUAUAUAUGUGUGUGUGUGUGUGGAUCACAGUAAUGCUCUCAAUUUGUGUGUUUGGUAUAGAACCGAAAUUCAGUAGUUGGUCAAAGUUUCUGAAAGAGAUCGAGACAGCACCAACCAUUAUGGUAAAUCAGCAUACAAUGGCAGACAUUAUAUAUCCCCAAAAUGUAGGAGAGCAAUUUGUAUAGGGCAAGUACAUCGUUAUAUAUUAUGGUGUUUCAUGUCAAUGAAACAAUGUUAACGUCACAUAGAGAAAAACUUAAAGCCUUCUCCAAAUGUAAAGAAUCAUCAGAUGAAAAACUGAACGAUGCAUGUCAAAGCUUAGCUGUUCUCAUAUAUACAUGUGCGUGUGGGUGUAUAAAUAUAUAAGCACUGAAAGCAUAUUCAAAAUAAUAUACAGCUCUAUAAUUAAUGGCUCUGGUAAUGCAGAUGGAGAUGAAUGUCUUCAAAAUUGACAAAUUAAAACAUAUAUAUAUAUAUAUAUAUAUAUAUAUAUAUAUAUAUAUAUAAUCUCUAUGAGUACUGGAUACUAAAAAAUCAUAUAUUCAAGCUUUCAAACACAUACUACAAUUACAAUACAAGUCUUACAAGCAUCAAGGUAAUGAGAACAUGACAGCAACAUGAUAUAUUUGCUGCAUCCAUAUACUCAAAAAACAGAAAUAUAUAAUUAAGAACUAAAACUGAAAAAAAGAUAAAAAUAAAUAAACAAAGGAGAUUAAAAGGAAAAAAAAAAGUGAUCGAUCGGACCAGGAGAGCUUCAUUCCCCCGUUAAUGGAUGCUAUAUAUCCAUCAUCAGUGUAUCAUUCUUGGGUUGGACUUGGAGAGACCCCAAAGUUCUUUAAAUGGCAGUUCCAAGAAACACCCAUGUAUAUCUCUUGAAAUUGAAACUGAGGAGAAACCCUAGUUUGCUUCCACUGCACUGGACCGCCAUAUAUUUCAGAAACAAUUCCCACAUCGUGAUCAUGAGAGAGAAGAUAUGCAGCUGAGGGAGUGAGAGAGGGAAAGCAGCAGAGUUAGAGUAACUCAGAGAAUACGGUAACAUGGUACAGAUAUAUAUAGCUUUAUAUUGCAGAGAGAGAGAGAGAGGGGUGAAAUAUUGUGAAGCACGCAUAGUGUGGACUGUGGAAGUGUGGAGACCUAAUCUUAUAUUCCCGCAUGCAGGAUUUCUCUUUUCAAUGAACAGUGCUAGAGGGCACGUUUCCACAGGGAAAAAGGAACACCCAACAAAAGGGGAGACGACACACUCACACAGUGGACUGUGGAGGCAAAUGUGUUCCUGUGUGUUCAAUUUUUAGGGUUUACAUUUUUGUGAAGGCAAAGCAAAGUAGCAAACGUAAAGCAUGAUAUAUCGGUGCCCCAAGGGUGGGGCUAGCUAGCUCCUUAACCCUUGAAAAAAGGGUCUUUAUCUAUGUAUAAUGUAUGGUGUUUGAAUUUUUGGCUCUUCUCUCUUUUAUCUUUUGGUCGGCUCGUAUCCAAAAGGGUUAUAAUUUUCUUUUUGGUUGCCUUUCAUAUGCUUUUGUGUAUGGUUUGAUUUAGAUUUACUUUGUUAUUUUCAAAACCUUAUGAGAUUAUUAAGUUACAAAUAUCAGAAAUUUACGUAGUUGGAUCAAGCUGGUUUCACCAUCUAAACUUCAUUAACACGCAUUUAGACCAAAGCUAAUUAUGCCUCAUCAUGUGCAAAUUGAUCGUUAACAUCCAUCUUCUUUCCCAACCUACACGAUAUAUCAAUAUAAGAAUUUUUGUGGUGAGGGGUUAACUGCAUUUUAUUAAGUGUAACUAUAUCGUCGAUAUUGACGAAUAUAACAAUUUUAUAGUUGACAAGUAGGGAUAGCUACGGUUCGGUUUGGAGACGAAAAUGCUAUAUUCAUCCCCAUAACCACAAAAAUUAACCAAAUUCAUAACUGCCAAUUAAUCAUCGGGUAUUAUCUAUAACCAUACACACCGGAUAACGAAUUCCCCAUCGAUUAACGAUUAUACCCAUCUUUGUCAAUACAAAAAAUAUAUUCGUUCAAUUGACGCAUGAUAAUUUAGUCAAUAUUUAUUUCGUCAUUAAGUAUUUGAGGUAUAAAAUGAUUUAAUGAAUGGAUCUUGUGAAGCAUAAAAAUUAAAGCUAAACAUUGAUAAUGUGGGCUGAUCUUUGAUAUCUUGUAUAAGUACUAUUGGUCUGGAUUCUCAUAGAUUUUGAUUCAUAUCAAAACUUUUUAACUUGUCCACAAAAGGCAACUCACAAAGUGCAACUUUUGUAGUCUCGAGGUAAUGGAAUCAGUGAAUAAUAAAUAAAUAAAUAUAUAUAUAUAUAUAUAAUUCGGUUUGGAUUCGGGGAUGGAACAGAUUGGGGACCCCUAUAACCAUAAUAUUAUUCACGGUUUUUUCCCAUAUCCAAAAUAUACCCGAAUUUUCAUACCAAAAUCCAAUCAAUUCGAACGAUUAGAAUAGGGAUGAACAACGUCAAUAAAUGUGACUACGAAGUAAUUAGCUUUAACGGAGAGGAACUAUUUAUAUAAAACCAUAAACUCAUUUUUUUUAUAACUAUAAAUACAUAUACGAACCCCUUCUUAACAAAAAUAUAUAGACCCCUAAUAUUCUACAACCAUAACUGGCAAAAGAAUAUUGAAUAAUAAACCAUCAAUAUAUUGUCAAUAGGUCAAUAUACACGCCAUACAACGGUGCUAAGAAGACAUCCCACUCCGUGAAGAGUAAAACGAAAUCCCUACUAAGAAGCUGGUCAUAUAUACGCAUGUCAAAAUCCUUGUGUAUGAUAUAUUUGGAAGGCUCAACAUCAUCUUAUAUGAACCUCUCUUUGUUAGUUGUGUGUUCUAUUUGUCUUGACAAUCGCUUAACACACCUCUAAAGUCCCAAGCCAAGAACUAUAACUGCGUCUCUAUCAAUGGCUAGUCUCUCUCAAUGUACACCCCAACGGCCAUUUGCAAGUUUGCCAUUGAAAACGAAUAAAGGACCACCGUUGUUUUGUUGCGUAAGCUCUCUACUCAAUCCUUUCCCCAGUUCCACCUUCCCAUUCUCUCCCGUAAUAAAUCGACACAUGUACUAGACUUUGCAGAACUUCCUCGCACGCCCGUUGAGGGAAAAGGGCGGGUUCCCGGUUCACUUUUGUGACCGACACCAACUUCGCGUGAAAGGAAAUGAAGUUGGGGUCCAUGAAAUUACACAAAUAAUUAAUCACUUAAACUUAAAAUCAUUUCGUCAUACAACAUGUUCAAAGAAGAUGUUCAAACACUUAGGUAGACUGUUUUGAGAAAAUAAAAAGUUGAUUUUCUAGUUUCAAAGAAAAUGUCUAAGUCCUACAUGGAUUGACAUUCUCUACUUUGCUGUCAAAUUCGAAGGCAACAUCAAAAUAUUUUUUUUGUUUUAUUUUAAUGUUUUGCCCAUAUAUUUAUUUAUUGAUUAUUUUAUGAGAAAUUUUAUUUGAACCUAUGUAACCUCUUUUUACACCUAACUUACUAUUUUCACCCAUAUUACUUUUAAGUAAACUACCAAUAUCUUUUUAAACCCAAAUUUUCUACCUAAACUACCCUCACAAAGUUAAUUCAAUUUAUAAAUUUUUCUCUACACCCAUUUAGAAAAUACAAAUCCUAAAUUUGCAAACAAAAGUCCAUUUCAAGUUAGGACUACGAAAAAAUUGACAAAUUCAUAAUCUAAGCAAUAUAAUUGUCCUUGCAAUUAUAUUAUAAUAGGGUUACCAAUCAAUAAUAUUUCUUUUUCUUUUUCAAUUACCAAGCACUGGGGUUUUUUUGGAGAGAGCUCAUCAAAGUUGAAAUCAAACCACCUACUGAAGCAUAGCCCUUUUCUCCAUGGUUUAAAAUCUCUCUCAUUCUCUAGCUCUCUCUCUUCCAUUCGUUUAUUAACAUUAGUUCAGUCAAUUAGGUAUAUUGUUACUAUUUCACAUCUAAAAUGGCUUUAUCAAUUCUUAAAGGACUUCUCAGGCGAAGUUUCAUAUAAUCUAUCCAUAGAAGUGCAUGAAGUUUCAAUGGUAGCCAGUUUCAUAGCUUGAAUGAAUCCUGUCUCACCUUUGGUACUGUAGUGAUUUAAUCAAACGAAAGAACCAUGCAUACACUAGAAGGCUGGAUGAGACCAUUACAUAAUUAUUUGGAUGAAAUAAGGGGUGAUGGUAGAAUUUAAUUAUAGAGUGGGUUUAUUGAUAAGUUUUAGUUUUAUUGUUAAUUUCAUUUUGUAGUUUAUGGUAAUUAUGUAAUAAAGUAAAAAAAGAUAAUUAAAAUUAAAGUUUAAGUUGGGUGUAGAAAGAGGUUAUACGGGUUCAAAUAAAAUUUCCCUUAUUUUAUUAGUAAAUUUCAGACCCCCUUGAUUUUAUAAAUACUAAAGAAAAACAUUUUAAUUUGACAUUUUAGUUGGAAUAGGAGAUUUGGCAAACUAUUAUUUGCCACAUCAGCUAAAAUUAAAAUUUUCCAUUUUAAUUUAACAUCUCUAUUGGAGAUAGUCUUAGUAUUACGAUUGAAUAAUAUUUUUCUUUACUUGUAAUUGAUAGGUUUUAAGUUUGAAUAUUAUGAAUAUCAAGUUUGAAUCCACAAUAUAUUGACACUAAGGUUGAAGGAAUAAAUUACUUGUACCAUUGAGUAGUACUAAUGUAGCCGGACUAGUUUAGACUUGACAUUAUAUUAUUAAGGGUGAAGUGUCGAUUUAGUCCCUAAACAAUCACCUCAGUGAAAAUUAGGUCCCUAAAUUAUUUGUUCGGUAAAAUAAGUCACUGAACUAGUUAAUAAUUGCUAAUUUCAUCCCUUCUACUAUAUUCAAAGAUAUUCUAUCCAAUUUUUCGUCAACUUAAGUCAUUGACACACUUUACAAUGUAAUACUGUCAUUUUCUCGCCUAUAAGCCCUUAACAUUUCAUAUAGGUUGUAAAUUUAACGUCUAAUUUACCCUCCAAAGUUAACUCCAUACACUAUUUUUCUAUGGAAAAUUACCAAUCUACUAUCUAAUGUGUAUCACAUACAAGUAACGUGACUUAAAUUAACGAAAAGUUAAAUAUAGCAGCUUCGAAUCUAAUAUUAGGGAUGUAAUUGGUAGAUUUUUAUAAUUCAAUGACUGAUUUUUCUGAAGAAAAAAAAGUUUAGAAAUCUAAUUUUCAAUCAAGUAAUUAUUCAGGAACUAAAUUAGCAGUUCACCCUAUUAUUAAAGUGAUAGUACAUGGGUCGCAGAAGGUGUGAAAAGCCCAUGGGUUCCCAUUUAGGCCUAUCAACAUAUGACCCAAGAGAAAACAAACUGCAAGUCCGCAUUUGACCCAAUUACAUUCGGGUUGACCCGAAAAGUGCUUAAACCCUGGAAAUCCCCUGGUUCAUAUCAACGUCUCUGCUGUUUGUCUCAGUGAGAAGUUUAGCAGCCAUGAAUCGAGCAAAGGCGGCGUUUCUCACUACCCGCCGAUUCGCCAACUCGCUCGCGGCGACUCGGUUCGAUGUCAUAGCUCCGCUGCUUUAUUCUCAGGUGACUCAGUCCUCUCACCUCUCUCACUUCCUUUCAAAUCAAUCCCACUUCCUCAACACCCAUCAAAAGCUAUUCUUUUCCUCGACCCCCAACUCGGUCCUGCAACUCGUUCUGGCCAACAAAUGGUCCGCCGAGCUGGAGACCGAGUUAUCGGAGUCGUACCCAUCACCGACCCACGAUGUAGUAAUCUAUGUUUUGAAGAAAUUGGAUAAAGACCCACGAAAAGCUUGGGAUUUUUUCAAUUGGGUCUGCGAGAAAGACGGAUUUAGGCCAAGUUCUUCGGUGUUUAGCUUAAUGCUUAGGGUUUUAGUGCAUAAGAAUUCGAUGAAGGAGUUUUGGAUUGCUCUGAGGAAGAUGAAAGAGCAGGGAUUUUUCAUUGAUGCGCAAACUUAUAUGGCGAUUAGAGAGCAGUUGAAAAAGGGGAGGAUGGAUAGUGAUGUCGUGGCUUUCAAGCAUUUUUACGAGAGGAUGGUCGAAGAUAACGCGGCGGAUGAGGUUGUGAAGAGCGUGGUGGAUGUUGUUUCGGGGUCGGAGUGGAGUGAUGGGGUUGAGAAAGAAUUGGGGGAGAUCAAACUUGAGUUAUCAGAUCAUUUUGUCAUUAGGGUACUGAAGGAACUCAGGACUCGCCCGUCGAAGGCCUUGAGGUUUUUCCAUUGGGUUGGUCAGUGUUCCGGUUAUGAACACAAUACAAUUACAUACAAUGCAGUUGCGAGGGUUCUUGCGUGGGCUGAUUCGAUGGGGGAGUUUUGGAGUGUGAUUGAGGAGAUGAAGGCUGCAGGUCAUGAGCUGGAUUUGGACACUUAUAUAAAGAUUACACGGCAGUUUCAGAAGAGCAGGAUGAUGGAGGACGCGGUGAAGCUGUAUGAGCUCAUGAUGGAUGGCCCUUACAAACCUUCUGCUCAGGAUUGCAUCAUGCUUUUAAGGAGCAUCUCAGGGAGUGAUAAACCGGAUCUGGAUAUGGUUUUUAGAGUUGCAAAGAAGUUCGAGUCUGCGGGGAAUACACUCUCCAAGCCUGUUUACGAUGGGAUUCACAGGUCUCUGACAGGCGCAGGACGAUUUGAUGAAGCGGAGGAAAUUAUGAAGGUUAUGAGAAAUGCAGGGUACGAGCCGGACAACAUUACAUACAGCCAAUUGGUCUUUGGACUUUGUAAGGCCAAGAGACUCGAAGAAGCCUGCAAUGUGUUGGAAGAAAUGGAAGCAGACGGAUGCGUUCCUGAUAUCAAGACUUGGACCAUUUUGAUUCAAGGGCAUUGCGCCGCUGAUGAAGUUGACACAGCGCUGAUUUGUUUCGCAAAGAUGAUGGAAAAAGGCUGUGAUGCGGAUGCUGAUCUGAUGGACGUGUUGAUAGAGGGGUUCCUUAGGCAGAGGAAGAUAGAUGGUGCGUAUAAACUGCUUGGCGAAAUGGUGAAAAAAGCUCGUUUAGUGCCUUGGCAAGCCACAUACAAAAAUCUUAUCGAAAAUUUGUUAGAGGUUAGAAAACUCGAAGAAGCAUUCGAACUUCUUCAUUUGAUGAAGAAACAGAACUACCCACCUUAUCCAGAGCCUUUCGUCCAAUAUAUAUCGAAGUCUGGUUCUGUGGAGGAUGCUGCAGACUUUUUCAAGGCAUUGACUGUUAAGGAACAUCCAUCAUCUGCAGCGUAUGUCCACGUUUUGAAAGCAUUCUUUAAGGAAGGUAGAUACACCGAGGCCAAAGAUCUGCUUCAUAAGUGCCCUCAUCAUAUUCGAAUGCAUGGUGAAAUUUGCAAGCUUUUUGGUUCUAGGGAAGGCAAGCAGAAGCGGAAUACUACAGAAGACGGAGGCAAGCAGAAGCAAGCUAGUAAGGAAGGCAAGCGGAAGCAGACUACUACCGAAGGCAAGUAGAAGCGGACUACUACUUGACUUGUACACAGAUAGUUUCUUGUAAUAAUUUCAUGGUUAAACCCAUGAGUUUUGUAACCUCUACUCAUUUUCCAAGCCUACCAUACAUUGUUCUUAAAAUCUAAUGAAUCAACUAAGUUUUCCAGACAAGAUUGUCGUCUACACCGAAUUGAUUACCUGUUUUGUGCCAAGAACUCGAACCUUGCCUCUUUUUUUCCGAUUUGUUUUUUGGUACAGAUUCUUGUAUGAAUUAUCUUCAUCACAAACGGAAGCUACUAAUGUGAUCGUUUGCAGUAAGCGUAAAAAUACAUGGGUCACAAGAUGUGAAAACUAUUCAGUUCAGUCAGGUAGCUCAGAACGCUCCCUCCUAGCCGUAUCUGUCAUUGUACUCAAGAACUUGCUAGGGUCGCAACCGUAAGGAUUUGCAAGAGCCGCAUGUGCUAGGAACGGAAGCUUUCUUAAGGAUCGCCCACUCAAUCCCUAAAGAAACCAGAGACGAAAUCAAUUAUCAGAUAGAUUGAAAGGGGCCUAACAACUUUAGAAGACAUUGAAGAAUCUGUUCCUGACCUCGCAUGCUUCUGCAGUUUCGAACAAUUGUUUACACAGGUGUAGUGGUGUCUGGGCAUCUUGUACCUCAGGCAUAUUCAAUUUCUCUCUCAAGCUAGCAAAGUUAGGAAGCAUGCUAUCACAAUCCUACAAUUUACAAUUUCAUUAGGAAUUUGGCUUGGAACUUUCAAACAUAUCAGAACAAGGUUAGACAGACAAAUGCACCUCUAGAUGUGAUAAAAUUCCUGUUCGUAUAAGCUCAUGCAAGCAGGAUCUUAGGAUUUCAUAACGCGCUUGCAAAGUUGGGGGACCAACAUAUGCUUUGAUAUCAGCUCGAUCAACAAACGCAAUAUCUGCAAUCCAAGAAAUGGUAAAUUCAUACAUACUAGGAUGGUGAAAGUUAUCUUUUUUCCACUUCCACAGAGAAAAUAAAGUAUUUCUCUUUCCCUAGCUUGUCAGAACCACAGAGAGCUCGGGACUUCGAGAGAGACUAUUAGUAUUAGCGAACAAGAUAGAGACUAAACUGUUUAAUAUAGGGGAAAAAGUACAUUAACUCUUUGCAAACCACAGUUUACCACUCCAAUUUACAGAUGAAAAUGGUAAGCAAACCUAGAGAAGUUCAUUUAACAUGUUAGGAAAUUGAUUUGUGGCCUUACCAAUAGCAGCAGUUAUGUUGGAUGUUGUCAGAAUUAUAACAUUUGGUGCUGAUUUCAAUUUAUCCAGCUGAGUUAGUAGCGCAUUCACUACCUGGCAUGUCAAUUUUUAGGUGUUAUUUGGACCCAAACUGAGCUAUUCUGAACUGUAUCGUACAUGUUAAAUGUAAAUUGUAUGCAUUAUGUUCAGCCAAAAAAGUUUAGAAAGUAGUCUGGAAUACGAGGGCGGAAGUACAGUACCCGAAUAGAAUCUGAAGGUUCGGAGCCAGAUAAAGCAGCUUUUCUAGCAGCAGCAAGGCUUUCAACUUCAUCUGCAACAUCACCGUACAUUCAUAAAUUAUAAUCCAGAUGGAAGAAAGAUUAACGGAUGAAAACUCACAAUGAAAAUAAAUCUCACCAAUCAAAACAAAUACCAGAUUGCUUUCCUCCUCUACCAUCUCCUGAAUUUUUGAGAAAAGAUUUGCAACCUAAGAUUGAGAAAUAUGUUAAUGAAAACAGAGAACUUCAUGUACCAAAUCCAACUCUUGUUUACAAGGAGCAAAAGCAUCUUUCAAGACUUAAUUCAACUACAUACCAACUUGCCACUCUCAGAGAACCAUUUACUGAACAAAGAAUGUGCAUUAACUUCAAUCAACUGGCAUUGUGGGUAUCUGCAAAGUAUAAAAUAAUGAGUCUUGCAUUCUAUUCACUCGCAAAUCCAUCUAGGAAACAUAUGCUCAUAUGAACAAGACAAUACAUCAUGAACAAACCUGGAGUUAAACCGAAUGGAUAGUUUUUGAGCCAGCGCUUUACAUAGAGAAGUUUUUCCAGUCCCUGGAGGUCCAUGUAAAAGAACAAUGCUGCAGAGGGACAAGAACAAUCAUACGGGUGCUAAACAGAAAUUCCUCAGUAAUCAUAAAAGUUACAAGCAUAUGUGUGCAUACACGAAAUCAACAACAUUUCCUUACCGAUUCCAUGACACAAGGAAAGGAUUGACGCCCUUCUCAGUGAAAAGCAAUGCACUAGCCGCAUACCGCACCAACCUUUGCUUGAGACCUGAUUCAUAAAUUAAACUGCAAAAGUGAGAGCACGUCACAAUCAGUUCAUUUCAAAGUACUACUGUAGAGAAAAUUAGAGAAGCUGAAAAUCAACCUUUCCCACAAGCCAUCGAAUUCAUUUGCAGGAAGAAUCCAUUCGUUGAAGGUGGAAGGUUGUCCAUCCCCACUUACAUCCUCACAUGCUCCCUCUUCGCUAAGCUGACAAAGCACAUAGAAGCAAGAGAUUAACACUUAAAUAGAUAUCGAGUCCCAAAGUAGUUCAGCCCGUACACCUAUUACCUGAAAAACAUGCACAACAGGCUUCACUUGCCAGAACAAAAGGAUGUCAUGGUUUUGCACCCACUCAUCUACAAAAAAAAAAAAAAAAAAAAAGUUCCAGCAUCAGAACCGGCUUCAACUUAAACUUGCAUCCUCAUCCUCCUUUAUGCAUUCCACAAAGUAUUAGAAAUUUUUGCAGUAAGAUUUCCAUUUUUUCAGAUGAAAAUUUGCAGUAUUGACUAUAGCUGAUCAUCAAGUUUCACAAUUUCUUCACUUUGCCUUCAAAACUUUUCGUAACCCUCCAUGACUAAUUCAAAGAUAAAGGAGGAUACCCGUGUCACAAAUACAGAUUCUUUGCACAUUUUCUGUCAGAAACUGAUCAUCAAGCGGCACCGGCACAGGUCCGUCAGUGUAGCUCAGACUCCUCUUUUCAAGCAUUCUAAGCAAUUGAGAAAGAGAAAAAAUAAACCGAAUUCAAACCACAUUAUGUUAAUCCUAAUCUCUCAUUGUCGAACUCUUCAAAACUGUUAAGCUAAGCAGGCAUUUCAUCAAACACAUAAGAUCCAAUUGAGAAACAACCCAAAAAUCACAAUGUAAUAGUUAAAUAAACGAGUUUAACAGCACACCUCUCUACAGCAGACCGCACAUCGUCAGCCCGAGCUGUGCUGGAGGGCUUGAGGCUGACUUCCACUGAAACCCACAAUCAAUUUCUUUUAAAGAAAGUAAAUUUACAACUAAAUCGUCAGCACAACCUCAAAUUGAAACAAAAUUGAAUCUCAAAAAAUAAGAACAACAACGAAUCGAAGUCAAAAACGACGCCUUACGCACCUGAAACGAGGACUUUGUCUUGGGGAAGAAUGGGAGAAGGAGCUGAGUCUAUUGCGACGGCGCCGUUUUGGUCUGGGACAUCGACGUCUUGGGGGUUUUGCAUAGAGACGUCCAUGGGACUGGGAGCGCUCAUUUUGGGGGGGGGGGUUUAGGGUUUAGGGAGACUAUGAAGUGGAAAGCAUCGGAGAAUGAAGAGCAGCUUGGAGAAUGGAGGAGAUGAGCCAAACCCUAGAGCCCAACAGAAACCUGGGAAUUUGUUCUUACAAAUGAGCGGGAAAACUUGAAGGAAUAUAACUGAAAAAGCUUUUUAUAAAAGUGUGUUGGGUUUCAAAAGUAUUUUCCUCCAAAAAGUAUUAAUUACGUGCUUCCGGUAGGAAGCAUUUUAAAUGUCCUUUUAGGAUUUAUUUGUAUUUUUAUUAAAAAUUGACUCAAAAAAUACUCUUAUAAAAACGUUUUUAGUUAUUUUAAAAGCACUUCAAAACGAGCUCAUAUGUAUUAUACAUUUUUCCUUCUCCCAAAAUGAUCUGUCAUGAGCCACUUAAUACCACAGUUAGUGGUAUUCUUCUUCACUUGUAAGUAACAUGUCUUAGGUUCGAUUGUCGUCAAAUGUGAUUUGAACCACAUUAUUAUGAUUAGUCCAUUGUGAGGGUGGAGCUUUAACUCAUUCCUCCAUCCCUUAGUGUAGAUACUAUUGUUCAAAAAAAUAAAGAAGGUUUUUCAUAAAUAAUUUUUGGAUUGUUUUAAUGAUACCCACAAAUUGUUAACUACACCCUACAUAAUGAAAACAUCUCGUAUUUAUUUUUUGAAUGAAAAGUUAUUUUAAUAACCCAUUUUAACUUUCCAAAAUACUCUCGCACCACACACGUCCAAAAGUCUAGUUCAAGUUGGUCGAAGAGUUGUCAUUUAGUACUACGGUGUAGUGGUAUUCCUCUUCACUUGUAAGUGAGAUGUCUUAGAUUUGAUUCUUUCCAAUGAAUUUGAAUCACAUUAUUGCUAGCCCAUUAUGAGGCUAAGUCCAUCUCUCUUCCUUAGUGUAGAUAAUAUUGUUUGUUAAAAAAAAAUUGGUCGAAGAGUUUUACAAACACAUGAUUCUUGUCUUCAGAAAGUCAUCUUUUAUGCACAUCACUAGUGUUGUUUCAAUUUGGGUGUGUUUUAGAUCGUUUCAUAUGAAAAGAAAUUUUGGAGUUUUCAGGUAUAUGUCAAUUUGGAGUUUUCAGGUUUAAUCAAAUUUGGGGUUUUAGGGUUCUAUCAAGAGACGAUCAUCUGUUGCUGAUGAACGAAUUUUUGGCAAUGUCUAAGUGAUGAUCGUUGGCUAGUUUGCAGUAGAAGAAGAACAUGGUAAUAAAACUACGUUAUCAGACUGCAAACCAAUGUCACCAAUAUUUCUUGGUGGUUUCGAGAAACCUCGUUACGUUUAGUGCUUUUUCCGUUUUUUUUUUUUUUUUUUUUUGGACAAAGGUAAUUUUCAUUACCAAGAGAGCACAAGUACAACCAAAGGGGCCCAAUAUGUGAACCCCAAACACUAAACAAGAGCUCAACCCAAAAGAAGAGCCCAAACACAGAAAAAUAAAUACCCUAAAAGACUAGCUUCCACCCCCACUGUCGAAGAACCUGCCACCGACCACCAUCCAACAUCCCAUGCCAAAGAUCUCACCAAACAUAGCCCCAAAGAAGAAAGCUCCAGCUUCCUCCACCAAGCACCACACACAUCGAAACCGCAGCCACCAAGGAAAGAAGCCAGCGGGAAAGAAUUUUCCCCCAACAACAAAGCCGAAAACGGCAUACAAGUGGAAGAUGGUGGUGUGUACACCAUAUGAGCCGAAGCUCUGCACACCUCCUGUAUUUCAUUAACCGCAAUACAACAGAAGAAAAACAUCAUAUUAUCUCACAUUGGAUUCGACGGGUGUACUUAGAGAUUAAAGUUUUAUUUAAAAAAUAUCUACGCCUAAAUAGUCAUUUUAUAUUAUAAACAAAUAAGUUAUUUCAUGUUAAAAUUUUAAAUGAGGUGUAGUCAACAAUUGUAGAGUGUCAAUAAAACAAUCCUAAUUUUUUCUUUUAUGACUUAUAUGUUUUUAAGGGGCAAUUAGCACAAAUGAUCAGUUUUUGACAUUUGGUUGCAGAAAUUAUCAGGUGUUAUGUCAUUAUAGUGUGAUCGUUGUGUCAUCGUUGUGUGGUAGUAAAUAAAAAAUUAUCAUUUAUGGAACCAAAUGUUAUGCUAAUUGUCUUUGUUUUGCUAAGAUAUGUUUUGUUUAUAUAGGGAAAAUUUAUAACAACACAUUAUAUUCAAUGCAACUUGUAUUUCAAUCGAGUUUAAGCUCACUUGGGUUAAGUUAGAGUUGCCAAACUUUAUUGAGCUCCAUCAUGAAAUACAUUAUUUUGAAAAAAAAUUCAUAAGUUCAACUAAAUAACGUGAAUACUAAUUCAAACUAAAUUUUAAAAAUUAUAACAAAAGUUUGAUUCUUGCUAUUCUCUUCAACAUAUUUUGCAACGUCAGAAAUAGAGACUAGCCCAGCCCAUUUGCCCAUCUGUGUGUGUUUACCUCACAUGCUUGGGAAAGAUAAAAUUCUUAUGCCCACAAAAAGGAUAUGGUUGCCUACCUUAUCUCGCUUACAUGGUACCAAUUGUGAGGUUCUAGGUUGCCCAAAAGAUAACAUGGCCCAUACAAGACUUCGUUAGAUAACAAAAAACAACUCACCAUGAAACAAAAGUUACAGCUUGAAGAUGUCGACAGAGAACUUGAAAUCAUCAAGGAUGUGGCACAAGCUUGGUACAGCCACUCCGGCAACUCCCGGCCCAUGUCCGAAUUUGAUGCCCACCGGAGAAACUACAAAGGUAAGUCACCGUCCCGGUUGAAGCUUGAAGCAAUGAGAAAAUCAUCAUCAGCUAGUGCACAUCAGAGUGGUUAUGAAAAAUGGGAUUUUGGGCAGUCACUAUGGGAUGCUUAUGAGAUUGUUGCCGUGUCGAAAAGGUUAGAGACCGGGCUAGUCCUUGAUGAGUUGGAGAGUUCGGCUCGAGUCCAUCGGAGACGUAGGGAGAGCAAGCAGAGUCUUAUUAGAAGUUUUUUCAAUACAAUGUUUUCAAGGAGAUUUAAUGAGGCAGAUAUUCCACCUGAUGAGGAUACGUAAUUCGGGUCCUUCUUGAUUUUUUGCAGCGAUAUCGUUCUUGUUAGUGCAAAUUACAGCUCAAUUUUAGUAUAUAUAUAUAUAUAUAUAUAUAUAGUUUUCUUCGAAUAUUAUCUACGUUUUUUACACUGUACUUUUUUUUUCUGUGUGCGUGAAGAAAUUAUUUGUUGUCUUUCAAUAUUCAUGUGCUUUGUUGGCGAUCAAAAUCUUCGUGUUAAGCUAAACUAGAACUGGAAGUCGUAACUUUGGCAAGUGAAUAGCGUGUCCCCGGAUGUUACCACGAGUUGGUUUUGAAUGUUUUGAUUGACUUUGGAAUGAUAAAAGUUGCAAAACUAUGUUGGGAACCAAAUUAAGUUCUUCAGAUGGCAUAAGGCAUGAGGUAGCGCUGGAUUUCCUAGGAUGUUUUGCCCGUCUCACCGCAAAAACACAAAGGUUUUAGCAUUUAGCAUUAGUUCUUUUACCGUCAAUUCUCAAAAUCAUCACAAAGUGUUCGCAUUUACUUGCUGCACAAGUAAAUAUCACUCAUGCCGCUGCUGCUGCAGUUUUAUUUCAAUACGUAAAGUAGUACUAACAAUAAUAAUUAUUAAUAAUAACUUGUUUAUUUAGUAAGUGAAAUGCAUUUCACAUGACAAUUAUGGCAACCUAUUAAGAUUAAGAGCCUGUUUAAGGAAGUUUAGCAUGAUAAAAGGACAGGCACUUUAUUUAUUAGUACCGAGUAAGUUUGCCUGCCUGCCAAACAUCCAUGUCGAGGAUUCUUUGGCGCCUUAGCCCGCUUUGAACAUCCUCCACUUGCUGAGCUCAAACCCCUUGCGCUUCUGCUCGAUGUAAUCAUCCUCAUCAACAUCAACGGUUUCCUCAAAAACAACGCAAUUCCCAUUGGCAUCGCACUGCGUGACUCUCUCGGUCACUUCAACCGUCUUGUGAACUUCCGGGAUGUGGUGCUGCUUCUGCUGACGCUGUUCGUAGUACUGACCGCCGUAGUUCUCUCUUCCAGGGGCCUGGUUGUUGUAUAGGGUUUGGCCAUGAGGGUGGUGAGGGACGUCAGUGAGGACACUAGGGGUUGUUGCCAACCUAUGGACAUGGGAGUAAUAGUCUUGCCCAUUUUCGUGCUUGGUUGGGUAGCUUGGGUACCCGUCGCUUCUCCUCAUUUUGUUUUGCAAUGACAAAUUCACAAUUACGUUGAACUUGAUGCAUUAGGAGAAUGCAAAAGCUUCAAUUUAUAGGCAGAUUGGUUUGGCCUUUAUUCUAAAAUGAUAAGGGUGGUAUCUAGUUCUGCUGACGUGAAUUAAGCUAGUUUGUUAAGAUCGGUUAGAAGCGGCGUUGAGGUGCGUAAAAGGUGCAUUGGCACAUCUUCUCAAAUGUGCGUAACAGGUGCAUUGGCACAUCUUCUCAAAUUUCAAAGGGCCCUAAAAACUUUUCAUCCUCCUACCCUAUAUAUUACAUAUGAGUAAGUUUUUUAAUAAAUAAGUUUUUUUACUGUAACGAAAAAUUAUCAUCAUAUGAUUUUAUUUAUAUUACAAUCAAUUAAGUGGAGCCUAUAACCUUUUUCACUUUUCUUUAGCAAUUAAAAGAAAAAUUUGUGUAUUACUUUCUUUCUCUUUUCUCUAGAAAUAAAAAACUAACUUGUGUAUUACUUAAUUUCACAAACACAGGUGAAUUUUUGUAUCUCUCUUUCACUCCUGCUCAUUUUUUCCAUGGAUGAACCCUAAAGCAUAAUUUCGUGGAAAUUGUAGAUUAUUCAAUUGUUAAGAGUAAGAUGAUUUUAAUUAGUUUUUUUUUUCAUUAUAAGGAGGGCUUUUUUAUUAAAUUUGCACAAAGCUCCCAAAAUGUCAGGAAUGGCCCCAUUUCUUUGAGUUCAAACCCUUUUUUUUUUUUAAAUUAGAGUAUCAUCAUCUUAGCCAAAUAAAAGGGUGAUAUAUCUAGUCUGCUGACAUGAGUAAGGUCAGUUUGUUAAAGUAGUAUGUUGGCCUUUUUAUCUAAAGUUUGAAUUUCCCAUCUAUGUAAAUUAGAAUUUCAUCUUGUCAAAUAAAUAGGUGGAAUCCAACUAUGUUGACGUAGUUUUAACCAAUUUACCAAACCCAUGUGCCGACCUCCUUACAUUCGAGUUCAAAUUUUUCUCUAUAUAAAUUAGAUUAUCGUCUUGUCAAAUAAAAAAGGUAUGGCAUCUAGUUCUCAUUCUUUUUGUCUACUCAACAGUUGAUUCAAGCAUAUAUGAAUCUAAUAUUUGCUGGAAAGGGUCUGCCAGAAAUAGGAUUAUUUUCCAACGUUAAUACCAUAUCUCCUAGGCAUAAUAUUUUAAUGGGUCUCAACAUCAGUUUCCAGCUUGAUGUUGAAUGUUAUACUUAUAUAAAAUCUCAGAUUCCUAUGUGCAGUGAAGGAAUCAGAAAUUUGUGGAAAAGGGGUUGUAAAAAGGUUUCUACAAAGAAAAUAUAAAUACAUUUCUUCGAUCACUUUUUGUGGAGCAAAAAUAAUUCUAAAAAUCAUGGAGCUGACACAUGAAUUAUUUCUUAAGACAAGACUGCCCCUAUUAAAUGAGCAUAAAGCAGUCUCAUUCACCACGCGCAGCUGAGGUAGAGCAGGCAGAGAUCAACGAUUGCUCAAGGCAUCCCUACCCGUAGGAAAACUUAAGGAUAUUUAUGAUAGAAUAGUUAUUUAUUUUUAUCAUAAAUAUAUUCCUAAUUCCAUUUAUUUAUGAUAUUUACCUAAUUACUCCAAUAUUUACUUACACAAAUAUUGUCGAAUAUUCUCACCUAAAAUACCAAAUAGGGCCGGCCACCCUAGAGGGCCAGCCCAUCUUCUCAUUUUAUUCUAUAAAUACUCCAUUUCUCCAAAAUUUAGUAAGUUUGAACUACCCCUAAAGAGGCUUUUUGCUUCCCACAAACACUCAAACAUAUUAUUUUCAGAAUUCUAACUUUGGCAUCAGAGAUUCUUUGCCCAAAGCCCCCCCAAUUCAUCGUGGGCGCGUGAGGCUUUUGGCCUUAAUCUUAGGUAUUAUUAUUUUGCAGGUACAGAUUCGUCAAUCUAAUGAAAGCGGAAAUUUGAAUCCACACUUCUCACUUUAAAGAAAAUAUAAAUGAAGGAAAGACUAUUGAACGCAAAUACAAGUUAUUGGAGUCAACCGACUAUAAUGACCUUGUAAUAGCUCCGUCGCUAGCUGAUAUUUCGUGUAUCUAGUGACCUUCAAACAAGUGGUGAGAGGCGAUACAAGACUAAAUUAGAUUUUACAUUACAAUAUUUAUAAUCCGCAAUUUUUAUUAACAGUAUGAACUAUUGGUUAAGUGAAUUUUUGUUUGAAAGUCUAGUCGGGAUUUAAUCUGACAACGUAACAUGCAAAUAGCUCGAAGAUAUAACUAUUACACAUGUUAUAAGCCACUUAAGACCAAUGUUCUAAAAGACGCUAGGAGCUAGUUGGGCAGCGAACUGGGACCUAGCGCCUAGGCGGAUAGGUGGGGCUUAGGAGGACUAAUUGUAUUGUGAUACAUUAAUUACAAAAUGAAAUUAAAGAGUCAAGUAAAGUUAGUUAGAUGUUUGUUAUAAUGUUUAUUAUAAUGUUUGUUAUAAUUCUUGUGUAAAUUGAUAGAGUGGUCAAGGGUAUAAAUGUAAUUGGCGCAUAGCCUAUAUAUACUGCAACACCAGUGUAAUCUUAUGAUUAUUCAAUACAAUUGAAGCAUAUUAAAAAAUUGUGUGUACUUAGAAUUCUACAUGGUACCAAAGCCAACCGCCUCACGACCUCUCCGAUCCUGUUGCAUCAUUCUUCUCUGAUCUUCCGCUUUUCUCUUAUCUUCUUCUUCAGUGUGGUAAUUGAGUAAUUGUGUUUCAGAUUCGGAUUUUCAACUUGUUAAUCUUGAAUCUUGAUGGCGUCUCCGUCUGAUUCUUCUUCUCCGAUUGAGUCGGUGCCUCAUCCAAACCCUGAUUUUUUUUCUUCCAAUCCUAAUCUUUCUCAAUCGUACUUCUCUCACAAUCCAGAAUAUUGGCAAUAUGGUUCCGAUCAAACUCCGACGGUCCAAUUACCUGCCAUGGCAAACGUUAUUUACAUCGAUUCUUCGUUGUUACAAGCUUCUUGUAUUGUUAAUGGAACUAAGCCCUGCCCAUCGCCAUUUCUUCUUCUUGAUAGCUCGCUAAAUCCAGCCUUUGAGCACUGGUAUGAGAAGGAUCAAAAUCUGCUCAUCUGGUUCAACUCGACUCUCUCUGAGGAAGUUAUUUCAUUCACUGUUGAUGUCUCAUCUGCUCAUGAUCUCUAGCUCAAACUUGAGCAACGAUUUGGUGGUGUCUCGAAUGCCCAUAUUCAUCAAUUGCAGUCCCGACUUCAAAACAUUCAGAAAAGUUCAAUCAAUGUCUGAUUAUCUUCAGCAAAUCAAGGAGAUAUUUGAUUCCCUUACUGUUGUUGGAGCCUCUAUCACUGAUUGCGAUCUCAUUGCAACACCUCUUGCUGGUCUUCCUGAUGAAUUUGAAUCAUUCAUUGAUUCCAUACUACUUCGCCUUUUGUCCACUUCCUUGGAUGAAUUACAUGGCUUGUUGCUUACUAAAGAACUAUACAUGUCGCAUCGCAAAAAUACUUCCUCAUAUGAGCCUUUUCAGGCGUUCUCUGUACAUGCUCAACCGCCACUCAUUCCUACACCACCAUAAGCUCUUGCUGCUUAGAAUCAUGGAGCUCAGCCACUUCAGAAUUCUUUCCAGUAUAAUUCUAACCGAGGAAGACAUAAUCGUGGUUUUCGGGGUUCAAAUCGUGGCAAUCAUAACUCUGGUUACAAUCAUGGCACUCAUAAUGCUAGAUUCAAUCAUACCACAUCUUCUUCUGGUUACAAAUCUCCGUGUCAAAUUUGUGGAUCUUACAGUCAUGAAGCUAUUGACUGUUUUGAUCGAAUGAAUGCAAAGAUCUCAGGUAAGGUUCAUCUAGCUAAACUUGUUGCCAUGUGUGCUCAUUACACUACUAAGCGUUCCCAUUCUUGGCUCAUUGACUCGGGUGCUACCUCUCACAUCACCAAUGAUAUCUCCAAUAUCCAAUCUUCUACUCCCUACAAUAGUGAAUACAAGGUUUACAUUGGAGAAAGUAAAGGUAUGUCUAUAAAUCAUGUUGGCACAUUUGUUUUGCAUACUCCUGCUCAUUCUUUUAAAUUGCAAAAUGUUCUUCAUGUGCCUCAAAUGCAGCAUAGUCUACUUUCUGCCUAUCAAUUUAUCAAAGAUAAUGAUUAUUUAUUAACUCUUGAUAUUCAUGGAUCAUUUGUCAAUGAUCAUUUUACGGGGAUGACACUUUUACGGAGACAAGUUAAAGAUGCUUUCUUUCCUUUUCAAAGUUCACCUACUCCCUACAAAGCUACUCCAUCCACACAUGCUGCACUAGUAAGUACUUCUACCAAUGUCAAAAUCUGGCACAGUCAGCUUGGUCAUCCCUUUUCUGUUAUAUUUCGUAAAGUUUUGUCAACAAAUAAAGUUGUUGUACAAGACAAAUCCUCUCUGGACUUCUUCUGCAAUGAUUAUGCUCUAGCAAAGAAUCACAAGCUUCCAUUUGGUGUUCCUAGAUCUGUGUCUACUAGAAGUCUUGAAUUGUUGCAUUGUGAUGUUUGGGGACCAUCUCCUGUUGUUUUAGUGAAUGGUUAUAGGUAUUAUUUGCUUAUUGUUGAUGAUUACAGUAAUUAUAGCUAGUAUUUUCCCUUAAAGUCUAAGUCUUUUGUAUUUUCAACAUUUAUGGAGUACAAGUCCUAUAUAGAAAAUACUCUUGGCAAUAAAAUCAAGGUUGUUCGAUAUGAUUCAGGGGGGGUGAGUUUACUAGUCAUCAAUUUCAUAAUUUUCUUAAACUUCAUGGUAUUUUCCAAUAAUUUAGCUGCUCUCACACUCCGUAGCAAAAUGGAUAUGUUGAAAUGAAGCAUCAUCACUUGGUUGAAAUUGCACGAACACUAUUGGUUGCAUCUAAAGUUCCUCAUGUUUUCUGGGUUGAAGCAUUUUCCAUUGUAGCUUAUUUGAUUAAUCGGCUUCCUCUUGGUGGGUUACUGUAAUCCCCUUGGGAACUUCUUUUUGGUACCCCCUCCAAAUUAUUCUCAACUUAAAACUUUUGGUUGUGGAUGCUUUCCUUGGUUCAAGCCAUACACUUCAUCCGAGUUGGACAUCAAAAGUAAACAUUAUGUCUUUUUAGGGUAUAAUCUUCAACACAAGGGGUAUCGUUGUCUUGAUCCAGUUACCCAAAGACUGUACAUAUCAAAGCAUGUGCUAUUUGAUGAAACCAAUUUUCCAUUUCAUUCUAUAUCAAUUGCUACACCAAGUUCUACUAAUGGUUAUUCAACAGUGAAUCCCAAUGUUAAUUUACACUUUACUAUACCCAUUUCUCCUCAAGCACUUGUUGCCCAUCCUACCACCAGCAAUGUACCUGCUGCACAACAUCUUUCUCCAACAUCUUCAGGUUCAUAAUCUGUCACUUUGGAUGCUCAUUCUUCCCUUGCACCUCCUACAGUCUCUUACCUGCAACUCCCAAUAUACAUCCUAUGAUCACUAGAUCCAAGGCUGGAAUCUUUAAACUAAAAGCCUACUCAGCUACCAAGCAUCUUUUACCUGCAUCUGUUGAUUUUAUCCCCAAUACUUAUCUUCAAGCUUCCAAACAUGCUCAUUGGAGAUCUGCUAUGAAGGAUAAGUACAAUGCCCUACAAUCAACAGAUACUUGGUCUUUAGUCCCUUUUAGACCUCAUCAAAACAUAGUUUGAUGUAAAUGAGUUUUUCGAGUUAAGAAGAAUCCAAAUGAGACUAUUGAUAGAUAUAAAGCCCGGCUUGUGGCCAAAGGCUUUUAUCAGCAAGCUGGUUUAGAUUAUAAAGAAACAUUUAGUCUUGUAGUAAAGCCAGUACCAAUUCAAAUUCUUAUUUCUUUAGUAGUUCAGUACGAUUGGUUUCUCAACCAAUUGAACAUCAAUAAUGCAUUUCUGCAUGGGGAUCUUCACGAAGAUGUCUAUAUGCACCAACCACCUGGUUUCAGUGAUCCUAACUACCCCAAUCAUGUCUGCAAACUUCGAAAAUCCUUGUAUGGCUUGAAACAAGCCCAUCGGGCUUGGUUUGACAAAUUAUUUGCAGUUCUCAAGUCUAUGGGGUUUCAUCAAUUACAAUAUGAUGCUUCUCUAUUUGUAAUCAAAGAAUCUGUUCUUGUUAUUGUCUUGGUGUAUGUCGAUGACAUACUUGUCACAUGCCCUAAUUCUGCAGCUUGUCAACAAUUUAUUUAGAAAUUAGGUGCUAUCUUUCCUGUGAAAGAUUUGGGACCCUUGCAUUAUUUCUUGGGUCUUGAGGUUCAAAGAUCUUAUGUAGGUCUCUUCUUACAUCAAAGCAAGUACCUUCUAUACUUGCUUCAAAGACACAUAUGGAAGGUGCUAAACCAUGUCUCACUCAUAUUGGCUCUCUCAAACUUGAUCACACAAGCCCUUGUUACUUGAUCCCAAAGAGUACAGGUUUAUUGUUGGUGCACUGAAAUACUUAACUUGGACACGACCUGAUUUAUCUUUUGCUAUAAAUCAAGUCUGUCAAUUUAUGCAUGCUCCACGAGAACCACAUCUCCAAGUAACCAAAAGAAUUCUCCGGUUUCUCAAAGGCACAGUGAUUCAUGGUUUGUGGUUCAAGAAAGGUGUUAUCUAUCUCAGUGCUUACUCUGACGCUGAUUGGGCUGGAUGUAUAUUUGAUAGAGAUCUACUAGUGGUUAUUGCAUAUUUCUAGGGUCAAAUCUCAUUAGCUGGAGUGCUAAGAAGCAACCAACGGUUGCUCGGUCCUCCACCGAAGCAGAAUACAGAUCAUUAGCUCACACAGCAGCUGAAUUAACAUGGAUCUGUAAAGUGUUCAAGGAUAUUGGUCUCCAUCUUCCUCAUGUUCCUCAUCUCUGGUGUGACAAUAUUUCUGCAAUUUCACUUGCUUCUAAUCCAGUUUUUCAUGCUUAAACCAAGCAUGUUGAACUUGAUUACCAUUAUAUCUGAGAGUUGGUGUUAGCUAAUCUUCUCAAGGUCUAAUAUGUGUGCACUCAGGACCAACUAGCUGAUAUUCAUACUAAAUCUUUGUCUAAAUCCAGGUUCUUAUACUUGCAAUCCAAACUUUCUCUUGGACCUAUGGAUGCAUCCAAGUUCAACUUGAGGGGGUGUAAAGAGUCAAGUAAAGUUAGUUAGAUGUUUGUUAUAAUGUUUGUUAUAAUGUUUGUUAUAAUGCUUGUGUAAAUUGAUAUAGUAGUCAAGGGUAUAAAUGUAAUUGGCACAUUGCCUAUAUAUACUACAGCACCAGUGUAAUCUUAUGAUUAUUCAAUACAAUUGAAGCAUAUUCAGAAACUGUGUGUACUUAGAAUUCUACAGAAAUUGCAUACAAAUUAUAAAGUAUUAGAACAUAUUGCAAAAUGAACGCUAUCAAUUUUCUGUCUAAGUGAGAGUCACGAACUAGUCGGGUGUGUAAAUUGAUAUAGUAGUCAAGGGUAUAAAUGUAAUUGGCACAUUGCCUAUAUAUACUACAGCACCAGUGUAAUCUUAUGAUUAUUCAAUACAAUUGAAGCAUAUUCAGAAACUGUGUGUACUUAGAAUUCUACAGAAAUUGCAUACAAAUUAUAAAGUAUUAGAACAUAUUGCAAAAUGAACGCUAUCAAUUUUCUGUCUAAAUGAGAGUCACGAACUAGUCGGGUGGCUAGGUAGGUUUAAGUCGGCUAGGCGGGCACUUAAGUGGGCUAAGCGAACACCUAAGCAGGUUUAGGCGUACUUUCUUAAUUUUCAAACACCUAUAGACUAAUCGAAGCAGUGGCUAACCGGCUAGCGCCUAGGCAGCGUUAGGCAAGAAUUUUUAAGACGGUGUGCUUAAGACAUUAAAAAAGAACCCAAAAGUGAACAAAAUGGCACUAGCAACCCUUCCCAUCUCUCCCGCCAAACCCACAACUGUCGUAACUACCAUCCCCCAGUUUCCACACAAUCCCAAAACCCUAAUUCUUCAGCAAUGCAGAACCACCGGAGACCUCAACCAGGUGCAUGCCCACCUCAUCAAAACCCGCCUCCUCCUCAACCCCGCCAUCACCGAAAACAUCCUGGAAUCCGCCUCCAUUCUUCUCCCCAAGGCCAUGGACUAUGCUCUCUCCAUUUUUCACAAUGUCGACGAACCCGAUUCGUUGGCCUACAACAUCAUGAUAAGGAGCCUCAUAUACCAGCAUUCUCCUCUGGAGGCCAUUCUUUUGUUCAAGAACAUGCGCGAAAACUCUGUUGAACCUGAUGAGUUCACGUCACUGAAAGCUUGUUCAAGACUAAGAGCAUUGAGGGAAGGAGAACAGAUCCAUUCCCACAUUGUGAAAUGUGGGUUUAAGACAAAUGGGUUCAUUGAGAACACUAUGAUACGUAUGUAAGCAAGUUGUGGGGAGCUCGAUGUUGCCCGCCGGGUGUUUGAUGGAUUGCCCGAAAGGGCUCGAAUGGCGUGGAAUUCGAUGGUGGCAGGCUACUUGAAGAUCGAAUGUUGGGGAGAUGUCAUGACGCUAUUCGUUGAAAUGUUAAAAUUGGGUUUUGGGUUUGAUGAGGUUACUUUGAUUAGUGUUUUGACAGCAUGUGGGAGACUGGCCAAUUUGGAGCUGGGAGAGUGGAUUGGUGAGUAUAUAGAAGCAAAUGGGCUGAAGGGUAACAUUGUAUUAGUCACUUCUCUGGUUGAUAUGUAUGCAAAAUGUGGUCAGGUAGAUACUGCAAGACAAUUAUUUGAUCGAAUGGAUCGAAGAUAUAAUGUUGCGUGGAGUGCCAUGAUUUCAGGUUAUAGCCAAGCAGAUAGGUGCAGGGAGGCGCUUGGUCUGUUUCAUGACAUGCAGAAGGCAAAUGUGGAUCCCAAUGAGGUGACCUUGGUCAGUGUGCUUUCGUCCUGUGCUGUCCUCGGAGCUUUGGAAACUGGAAAAUGGGUUGAGUUUUAUAUAAUGAAGAAGAAAAUGAAGCUCACAGUUACCCUUGGAACUACACUAAUAGAUUUCUAUGCAAAAUGUGGGUGCGUUGAUAGUUCAAUUGAAGUAUUUAACAGGAUGCCUUUGGUAAACCUUAUCUCUUGGACAGUGCUAAUUCAAGGUCUUGCUAGUAAUGGACAGGGCAUGAGAGCGCUUGAAUACUUCCAAUUGAUGCAGGAGAAGAAUAUCAAGCCAAAUUAUGUGACUUUCAUUGCCGUUCCUUCUGCCUGUGGCCACGCAGGUCUGGUUGAUGAGGGUCGAAAUCUUUUUACCCGCAUGAGUAGAGAUUUCGGAAUUGAACCGAGGAUAGAGCACUAUGGUUCUAUGGUUGAUAUCUUGGGUCGAGCUGGUUUGAUUGAAGAGGCAUAUCAGUUCAUCAAGAAUAUGCCUAUCCAACCAAAUGUUGUGGUUUGGAGGACAUUGAUGGCUUCAUGCAGAACACAGAAGAAUGUCGAAAUUGGUGAGGAAUCGUUGAAACGCAUAACGAGAUUCGAGACCCCUCAUAGCAGGGAUUACAUUCUGCUCUCAAACAUUUAUGCAUCGGUAGGCAGGACUGAGGUUCUUCGCUGAAGACAAUGCAUGUCCACACUCCACACUCGGAGGAGGUUUACAAUGCAACUCACGACAUGACGAAAUGGAUUAAAGAAGCUGGUUACGUGCCAAACACAGCAGAUGGAAGACUAGAUGCAGAGGACGACGAUAAGGAAGCUUCGGUAUCCCACCACAGCGAGAAGCUGGCCAUGGCGUUUGGUUCGAUCAUAACAGCUCCCAGAACUGCACUUUGAACAUAAAAAAAUCUUAAGAGUUUGUACGGACUGUCACAACGCAACGAAGAUGAUAUCGAAGGUAUUUAACAGAGAAAUUAUUGUCAGGGAUAGGAAUCGCUUCCAUCAUUUCAAAGGGGGGUGUUCAAUAUUGAUCUGACUUGAUUCUGCCGGCGCUUCAACGGCGUGACUGGCGAGAUGUUCGGGCUGACGGAAAUUCGUUCUGGUUAAAUUUUCCUUUAUGUGAAUGCUCUCAACAGUUGCAAUUUUACACGAAAACAGUGAGUAAUAACUCACGCAGAUGAAUCUACGGAAACAUAACAGUUGCUUUUACACAUGCUGUUGGCAUUAAUCCAAGGUUUGAAUCGUUUUCGUGAAGUUAACGGCUUAGAAUUUCCGAGCAAAUGGAAGCCGCUUUCGAUGAAGAAUUUAAGUUGGAUUUCUUAUCCAGCAAGCAUCACAAAGAAACCGUACUCGAAAGUAUUAGCUGCUAGAUGAUCAAGAUUAUCAAAUCGGGGUUAAGAUCCUACACAUUGACAUAAUCCAGCAGAAUAUUGGACAGAUACAGAUUGGUGUGUUCAUCUGACAAUUGAACUUGAUGAAAUUCGACACUGAUCAGCUUAAACAUGUACCAUGUUAACGAAAUGUACUUAAUCGAACCAGAUUCUAGUGUUUACGACCCGAAGGACGGAGGUUAUGGACAUUCUCUUCAACUACUCAAUAACACUGGUUAAAGCAGAAGAAAAAACCUUUUGGCUUGUCUUCCAUUUCUCCUAAUUUGGGCGUCUCCCCCGAGCCUUCACGCGCUGACAUCAAGGCGCUCGUACCAGGAGACUCUGGCGGCAGGACUCUGUUCUCAGUGAAUAUCCGUGGCGGAAUGGCAGGUUUAGGAGGAGAUAUGGUGUAAAGAAAAUCUAGUAGCAUUUGAAUUAUUUGGCUGAAAUUAGGCCGGGCGUUUGGGUCCUCCUGCCAGCAUGAAGUUAGGAUGAUGUUCAACUCCUCUGGGAUGUUUUCAGAACUAGGCCUCACAUUCUGAAACGAAAAGUAUCGAAUAAAUCAUCUGGAAAAUUUAGCAGCACCGCAAGCACAUUGGAGAAAAAACUAACGUAAUUAAUGAUUGACACUGGAAAAUAUAUCGACGAGGAAGAUAUGUUUACUUUAAAGGCAGCUGCAUAGGCUGCUUGGAGAUUUGACAUGCCUUCGAAAGGCAAUUUGUUGUGCAAGAGUUCCCACAAAACAAUCGCGAAGCUAUACGCAUCCACUUUGUGGUUGUAAUGCUUUCCCUCUCCCUGCCUUAAUGUAACAGUACUGUACAGCUGCCCAAACAUAAGAAAUAUCGACUCGAAUAAGCAGGUAUUAGUGAGUGUGAUGGUUCAUGAGAAAGAGGGGGAAGUAGGGCAGUAGUACCUCUGGAGCCAUCCAACGGUAUGUCCCGGUUUCUGCAGUCAUCAUCUCUGUUAAUGACUCCUCUCUUGCCAACCCAAAAUCCGCUAAUUUAACUGUUUUGUGGUCUGCAGUCAAGAGCAAGUUCUCUACAACAACAACAACAACAACAACAAAGCCUUUUCCCACUAAGUGGGGUCGGCUAUAUGAAUCCUAGAACGCCAUUGCGCUCGGUUUUGUGUCAUGUCCUCCGUUAGAUCCAAGUACUCUAAGUCUUUUCUUAGAGUCUCUUCCAAAGUUUUCCUAGGUCUUCCUCUACCCCUUUGGCCCUGAACCUCUGUCCCGUAGUCACAUCUUCGAACCGGAGCGUCAGUCGGCCUUCUUUGCACAUGUCCAAAUCAUCGGAGCCGAUUUUCUCUCAUCUUUCCUACAAUUUCGGCUACUCCUACUUUACCUCGGAUAUCCUCAUUCCCAAUCUUAUCAUUUCUCGUGUGCCCACACAUCCCACGAAGCAUCCUCAUCUCCGCUACACCCAUUUUGUGUACGUGUUGAUGCUUCACCGCCCAACAUUCUGUGCCAUACAACAUCGCUGGCCUUAUUGCCGUCCUAUAAAAUUUUCCCUUGAGCUUCAGUGGCCUACGACGGUCACACAACACGCCGGAUGCACUCUUACACUUCAUCCAUCCAGCUCGUAUUCUAUGGUUGAGAUCUCCAUCUAAUUCUCCGUUCUCUUGCAAGAUAGAUCCUAGGUAGCGAAAACGGUCGCUUUUUGUGAUCUUCGCUAGAUUGCUCCGGUCAUUAGUGUGGAUAAGUAUAUAAAUGGAUAGAGAUAGGAAAGCAAACACAAGAUGUACGUGGUUCACCCAGAUUGGCUACGUCCACGGAAUAGAAGAGUUCUCAUUAAUUGUGAAGGGUUUACACAAGUACAUAGGUUCAAGCUCUCCUUUAGUGAGUACAAGUGAAUGAUUUAGUACAAAUGACAUUAGGAAAUAUUGUGGGAGAAUGAUCUCGUAAUCACGAAACUUCUAAGUAUCGGAGUGUGGUGUCGUCUUGACUUGCCUUAUCUGUCUCAUAGGUAGAUGUGUGGCAUCUUCUCUGGAAGUACUCUUCCUCCAUCCAGGGGUGGUAUCUUUAACUGGUGGAGAUGCACAAGGUAAUGUAUCAAUUUCACUUGAAGCUUACUUGUAGUUUCAGGCUUGGUCAAGCGCGAUACAAACCAUGUAGUAGGAGUCCCCCAAGUCGCCGAGCUAGGGGGUCUGCUGAAAGAGGUGACAGACAAGGUAAGCAAUCAGAGCUCCGACUGAUUGUUCACCUUCUCCCCAUCUUGCAGCAGCAUGAAGGAUAAAGAGAAGAAAAAUGAGAAGAGAUGAUAUGAGAUACUUUUGCUUUUGAAGAAGUAACUUUCCACAGGCUUAUUCUUGAACUGAGCUGGAGGGUUUUCUGGUUUCCUCCAGAGUAUAAGGCCGACUGAAGAAUUUGAGGGUCAAAACAAGUCCAUCAAAUCUAGAGUACGUUCCACCCUGCUGAUAUGGGAUACUUUUGCUUUUGACAGAGUAAUGGAUGUAUCGGCACGUGUGCUGUUACGCUUGUCUCCACAUGCUUCCUUGUAUCCUUCGCACUUGCCCUAUCUGUUCCUCAAGCAGAUGCGGAAUCUUCCCUGGAAACAUAAGAUGUUGAAGAUGAGUACUCGAGAGCAAUGCCAGGUAAGUAAUCAGGUAAGGGGUUCCAGGCAGUCAGUUCCUGGCUGGAAGCUUGAUUCCAAGUGCUGACUGAUUGCUCUCUUUCUCCUUGUCUUGCAGGUAAAAACAAGGCCAAAGGAAAAGACAGGGAAAAAGCAUGAUAUGGGAUACUCUUGCUUUUAACCCUGAUGAUAUGAGAUAUUCUUGCUCUAGUAGUAUAGCUUGUUUGCAGAGGUAUUAUCGGGGGGAAAGAAAGCUGAAUAUUUCGAAAGGCUUCGUUGGGAGUGCCCUCUCAGAUAUGAUGAAGGGUUGAGCAUUUUUUGCAGGUCUGCCUGUCCGUUGGGGAUGGAGGUCGACAUAUAUAGGAGUCUCCCUAACAACAAGUAGUAAUGCUAUUCCUUUACCCUGCUUGGUCAUAGCACGGUAGUGGGAGCUGCCAGUUUCACAUGUUUUUAACUCUGUCAGAGCACUUUGAAAAAGUGGUCUGUGGUAUCUGGCUCUCGAGAUUCGGAGAACGAUGCCUCUUCGAUUUUUGAGAAAGCAAUCAUGCUGGGGGUCUGGCUCUCGAGAUUCGGAGAGCAGUGUCUCUUCGAUUUUUGAGGAAGUAAUCAUGUUGGGAGUCUGGCUCUCGAGAUUCGGAGGGCGGUGCCUCUUCGAUUUUGGAGCAAGCAAUCUUGUUGGGAGUGUUGUCUCGAAUGUGAGUAAAGGUUGGGCAUGUUUGCUAGUCUACCUUGCCACGAAGCACAAAGGUUGACACACAGGGACUUUCCAAUUAUCCAGCAAUGGUACUGUUCCUUUACCCUCUCUUCGAUUUUGAGAAAGUAGUCAUGUUGGGAGUCUUGGCUCUCGAGAUUCGGAGGACGGUGCCUCUUCGAUUUUGGAGCAAGCAAUCUUGUUGGGAGUGUUUUCUCGAAUGUGAGUAAAGGUUGGGCAUGUUUGCUAGUCUACCUUGCCACGAAGCACAGAGGUUGACACACAGGGACUUUCCAAUUAUCCAGCAGUGGUACUGUUCCUUUACCCUUGUGGGUAAUAAUAUGGUAGCUAGACCUUCAAAAUUUAUGUGUCUAAACUUUGUUAGUGCUGUUUCUUUGCUAUUCUUUUACCUUUCUUGGUCAGAGCGAUGUAGUGGGAGCUGCAAGCUUCACGUGCUCAACUUUGGCAGAGAACUUUGGCAAAGUUAUCUGUGGUACCCAUGAGCUAUUGUUGCGUGUGGGAAGUGGGUGAUUGAACAGUAAGAUUCAUGUGCUUUCUACUUCACCAGAAGUCUUCGACAGAAUGCCCAUAAUUUCUGCAAAGCUGAGUGUGCGUGUGACAGGUGCUGACAAGGCUAGAAAAGUAGGUGCCUCUUCGAUUUCUGAGAUCGGCCCUCGUGGUCUCUGAGCAGCCCAGCUUUUGAGAAAGCGAGCGCCUCUUCGAUUGAUUCGGAGAACGAUGCCUCAUCGAUUUUUGAGAAAGCAAUCAUGCUGGGGGUCUGGCUCUCGAGAUUCGGGGAGCAGUGUCUCUUCGAUUUUUGAGAAAGUAAUCAUGUUGGGAGUCUGGCUCUCGAGAUUCGGAGGGCGGUGCCUCUUCGAUUUUGGAGCAAGCAAUCUUGUUGGGAGUGUUUUCUCGAAUGUGAGUAAAGGUUGGGCAUGUUUGCUAGUCUACCUUGCCACGAAGCACAGAGGUUGACACACAGGGACUUUCCAAUUAUCCAGCAAUGGUACUGUUCCUUUACCCUCUCUUCGAUUUUUAAGAAAGUAGUCAUGUUGGGAGUCUGGCUCUCGAGAUUCGGAGGACGGUGCCUCUUCGAUUUUGGAGCAAGCAAUCUUAUUGGGAGUGUUUUCUCGAAUGUGAGUAAAGGUUGGGCAUGUUUGCUAGUCUACCUUGCCACGAAGCACAGAGGUUGACACACAGGGACUUUCCAAUUAUCCAGCAGUGGUACUGUUCCUUUACCCUUGUGGGUAAUAAUAUGGUAGCUAGACCUUCAAAAUUUAUGGGUCUAAACUUUGUUAGUGCUGUUUCUUUGCUAUUCUUUUACCCUUCUUGGUCAGAGCGAUGUAGUGGGAGCUGCAAGCUUCACGUGCUCAACUUUGGCAGAGAACUUUGGCAAAGUUAUCUGUGGUACCCAUGAGCUAUUGUUGCGUGUGGGAAGUGGGUGAUUGAACAGUAAGAUUCAUGUGUUUUCUACUUCCCCAGAAGUCUUCGACAGAAUGCCCAUAAUUUCCGCAAAGCUGAGUGUGCGUGUGACAGGUGCUGACAAGGCUGGAAAAGUAGGUGCCUCUUCGAUUUCUGAGAUCGGCCCUCGUGGUCUCUGGGGAGCCCAGCUUUUGAGAAAGCGAGCGCCUCUUCGAUUUCUGAGAUCGGCCUUCGUGGUCUUUGAGCAGCCCAACUUUUGAGAAAGCAAACGCCUCUUCGAUUUCUGAGAUCAACCCUCGUGAUCUCUAAGCAGCCCAGCUUUUGAGAAAGCAAACGCCUCUUCGAUUUCUGAGCAGGCGCCUCUUCGAUUUCUGAAGCUCCGUCGAGUGCAGAUUUUUAUAGGGGCUGGACAUUAAGUUCCAAAGCACACUUGAAUCUCCACCAGUAGAAGCUUCAUUCUUGCACUUCUAAGAUCUUGAUUUGUCCGACCUCUUCUCUCUUCAACACCUUUGAAAAUGUCUGGCCCCUCCGACCGUCGUUUUGACUUGAACCUUGUUGAAGAGGCAGCCCCGCCUUCUCCAGACAACAUAUGGCGCCCAUCCUUCGUCUCCCCUACUGGUCCUCUUACCGUUGGGGAUUCCGUGAUGAAGAAUGAUAUGACCGCUGCUGCGGUGGUGGCCAGGAACCUUCUCACUCCCAAAAGAUAACAGACUACUUUCCAAACGGUCUGAUGAGUUAGCUGUUAAGGAUUCGCUGGCUCUCAGUGUUCAGUGUGCAGGUUCUGUGUCUAAUAUGGCCCAACGCCUAUUUGCUCGAACCCGCCAAGUUGAAUCAUUGGCGGCUGAAGUGAUGAGUCUCAAACAGGAGAUUAGAGGGCUCAAGCAUGAGAAUAAACAGUUGCACCGGCUCGCACAUGACUAUGCUACAAACAUGAAGAGGAAGCUUGACCAGAUGAAGGAAACUGAUGGUCAGGUUUUACUUGAUCAUCAGAGAUUUGUGGGUUUGUUCCAAAGGCAUUUAUUGCCUUCGUCUUCUGGGGCUGUACCGCGUAAUGAAGCUCCAAAUGAUCAACCUCUGAUGCCUCCUCCUUCUAGGGUUCUGUCCAGUACUGAGGCUCCAAAUGAUCCCCCUCCGGUGCCUUCUCUUUCUGGGGCUCUACCGACUGCUGAGACUUCUCCUAAGCAACCUUUGUGAAGGCUCCCUCUUGUGUGUUUAUUUUGACUCAUGUAUAUGUACAUAUUUGUAGCUUAUCGGGGAUAUCAAUAAAUAAGCUUUCCUUCAUUUCAACGUAUUUGUGUUAAAUACACCAAAGCCUUCUUCGCUAAGUUCUUUGAAUUUUCUUUUGUUGAAGCUUGUAUGUUGAAGCUUUCUGAGUGGAGCAUGUAGGUUGGGGUAGUGUUCCCUUAAUUUCCCGAGUGAGGAAAACUUCUCGGUUGGAGACUUGGAAAAUCCAAGUCACUGAGUGGGAUCGGCUAUAUGAAUCUUAGAACGCCAUUGUGCUCGAUCCUGUGUCAUGUCCUUCGUUAGAUCCAAGUACUCUAAGUCUUUUCUUAGAGUCUCUUCCAAAGUUUUCCUAGGUCUUCCUCUACCCCUUCGGCCCUGAACCUCUGUCCCAUAGUCGCAUCUUCUAAUCGGAGCGUCAGUAGGCCUUCUUUGCACAUGUCCAAACCACCGUAACCGAUUUUCUCUCAUCUUUCCUUCAAUUUCGGCUACUCCUACUUUACCCCGGAUAUCCUCAUUCCUAAUCUUAUCCUUUCUCGUGUGCCCACACAUCCAACGAAGCAUCCUCAUCUCCGCUACUACACCCAUUUUGUGUACGUGUUGAUGUUUCACCGCCCAACAUUCUGUGCCAUACAGCAUCGCCGGCCUUAUUGCCGUCCUAUAAAAUUUUCCCUUGAGCUUCAGUGGCAUACGGCGGUCACACAACACGCCGGAUGCACUCUUCCACUUCAUCCAUCCAGCUUGUAUUCUAUGGUUGAGAUCUCCAUCUAAUUCUCCGUUCUUUUGCAAGAUAGAUCCUAGGUAACGAAAACGGUCGCUCUUUGGUAUUUCUUGAUCUCCGAUCCUCACCCCUAACUCGUUUUGGCCUCCAUUUGCACUGAACUUGCACUCCAUAUAUUCUGUCUUUGAUCGGCUUAGGCGAAGACCUUUAGAUUCCAACACUUCUCUCCAAAGGUUAAGCUUUGCAUUUACCCCUUCCUGAGUUUCAUCUAUCAACACUAUAUCGUCUGCGAAAAGCAUACACCAAGGAAUAUCAUCUUGAAUAUGUCCUGUUAACUCAUCCAUUACCAACGCAAAAAGGUAAGGACUUAAGGAUGAGCCUUGAUGUAAUCCUACAGUUAUGGGAAAGCUUUCGGUUUGUCCUUCAUGAGUUCUUACGGCAGUCUUUGCUCCUUCAUACAUAUCCUUUAUAGCUUGGAUAUAUGCUACUCGUACUCCUUUCUUCUCUAAAAUCCUCCAAAGAAUGUCUCUUGGGACCCUAUCAUACGCUUUUUCCAAAUCUAUAAAGACCAUGUGUAAAUCCUUUUUCCCAUCUCUAUAUCUUUCCAUCAAUCUUCGUAAGAGAUAGAUUGCCUCCAUGGUUGAGCGCCCUGGCAUGAACCCGAAUUGGUUGUCCGAAACCCGUGUCUCUUGCCUCAAUCUAUGCUCAAUGACUCUCUCCCAGAGCUUCAUUGUAUGACUCAUUAGCUUAAUACCCCUAUAGUUCAUGCAAUUUUGUACGUCGCCCUUAUUCUUGUAGAUAGGCACCAAAGUGCUCGUUCGCCACUCAUUUGGCAUCUUCUUCGUUUUCAAAAUCCUAUUGAAAAGGUCAGUGAGCCAUGUUAUACCUGUCUCUCCCAAAAGUUUCCACACUUCGAUUGGUAUAUCGUCUGGGCCUAUUGCUUUUUUAUGCUUCAUCUUCUUCAAAGCUACAACCACUUCUUCCUUCCGGAUUCGACGAUAAAAAGAGUAGUUUCUACACUCUUCUGAGUUACUCAACUCCCCUAAAGAAGCACUCAUUUCAUGUCCUUCAUUGAAAAGAUUAUGAAAAUAACCUCUCCAUCUGUCUUUAACCGCGUUCUCUGUAGCAAGAACCUUUCCAUCCUCAUCCUUGAUGCACCUCACUUGGUUUAGGUCCCUUGUCUUCUUUUCCCUUGCUCUAGAUAGUUUAUAGAUAUCCAACUCUCCUUCUUUGGUAUCUAGUCGUUUAUACAUAUCGUCGUAAGCCGCUAACUUAGCUUCUCUCUGACAGCUUUUUUUUCGCCUCUUGCUUCGCUUUUCUAUACCUUUCACCAUUUUCAUCGGUCCUCUCCUUGUAUAAGGCUUUACAACAUUCCUUCUUAGCCUUCACCUUUGUUUGUACCUCCUCAUUCCACCACCAAGAUUCCUUUUGGUGUGGGGCAAAGCCCUUGGACUCUCCUAAUACCUCUUUUGCUACUUUUCGGAUACAACUAGCCAUGGAAUCCCACAUUUGGCUAGCUUCCCCCUCUCUAUCCCACACACAUUGGGUGAUUACCUUCUCUUUGAAAAUGGACUUGUUUUUUCUUCUUUUAGAUUCCACCAUCUAGUCCUUGGGCACUUCCAAGUCUUGUUCUUUUGUCUUACUCUUUUGAUAUGUACAUCCAUCACCAACAAGCGAUGUUGAUUAGCCACGCUCUCUCCUGGUAUAACUUUGCAAUCCUUACAAGUUAUACGAUCCCCUUUCCUCAUUAGAAGAAAAUCUAUUUGUGUUUUUGACGACCCACUCUUGUAGGUGAUCACAUGUUCUUCUCUCUUCUUAAAGAAGGUGUUGGCUAAGAAGAGAUCAUAUGCCAUUGCAAAAUCCAAGAUAGCUUCCCCAUCCUCGUUUCUCUCCCCAAAACCAUGGCCACCAUGAAAACCUCCAUAGUUGCCUGUCUCCCUGCCCACGUGUCCAUUUAAAUCUCCUCCUAUAAAUAACUUCUCCGUCUGAGCAAUUCCUUGCACCAAGUCUCCAAGAUCUUCCCAAAAUUUCUCCUUCGAACUCGUAUCCAACCCUACUUGAGGUGCGUACGCACUAAUCACAUUGAUAAGUUCUUGUCCUAUUACAAUCUUGAUUGCCAUGAUUCUAUCUCCUACCCUCUUGACAUCUACAACAUCUUGUACCAAGGUCUUGUCCACGAUGAUGCCAACACCGUUUCUCGUUCUAUUUGUGCCCGAAUACCAAAGUUUAAACCCUGAGUUUUCUAGAUCCUUUGCCUUACUACCAACCCACUUAGUUUCUUGUAGGCACAUAAUAUUUAUCCUUCUCCUCACCAUAACUUCCACUACUUCCAUAGAUUUUCCCGUUAAGGUUCCUAUAUUCCACGUUCCUAAACGCAUUUUGCUCUCUUGAACUCUACCCUUCUGUCCUAGCUUCUUCACCCUCCCCCGUCUAAUAGGAUCAAAGUACUUCUUUUGUGUGUCCCGGGUAAAAUUGAUAGGAGCAUAUGCUCCCAAACAACUUUGAGUGGAGUCGUUCGAAAAGAAGUUUCUAUGGCCCCCUUGCUCAUUUAACACUGCAUCCGGGUGCCGAUGGAGAUGCAGCGACCCUUGCUCACUUAUCACUGUGCUCAGGCCACACAGCGCGCCACUUACGGGUGACGCCCUAGCUUUAGCGCGAUUUUGUUCUGGAUUCAUUUUCAUAAGGAUUCGACGUGAUCAUGGAGUUAGAUACGCAGAAUUUAUACAAAAAUGGAAUACCAAAAGAAAGCUGGGUGAUUGAGCAGUUAUUGCAGACAAAACUCACAAGAUAUUGACUACAGAAAAUAAAUACGACAUCGGGAGCCAUCAGAGUUUGUUAGACAUUAUUAGAGAAGUUGUGGAAUACGCAAUCCAGUUCCGAAACAGUUUGUGAAUCUAAGUACUCUCACUUAUCAAAUUCAGAGCAGUUAAAACGGGAUCUGGAAAGUUACCAGGCUUCAAAUCACGGUGUAUGAUCCCAUGAGAGUGCAAGCACUCCAUCGCACGAGCAAUAUCUAGUGCGAAACCAACAGCAACGCGUAUGUCCAAGCACCUUGGCCGCAUGUUUAGACAAUAUUUACGCAAUGUACCACCUAAUAAAAGCUCAGUAACUAUCACCAUUACUGGCUCCUUGCAGGCACCAAUAAACUGUUGAGAGGCAGCGAACCUUAUUAAUUAUCAGAUAUCAACAACAACAACAACAACAACAACAAAGCCUUUUCCCACUAAGUGGGGUCGGCUAUAUGAAUCCUAGAACGCCAAUGCGCUCGGUUCUGAGUCAUGUCCUCCGUUAGAUCCAAGUACUACAUAAAAAUUUGGCAUUCAUGACUGCACAGUCUAACUAUUGUCAACAGUCACCGAUGACUUAACAACUAAAUGAGGGCAAUUAAAUCGAACCUUCACUAAAUUUUUAUGUUGAACUCUCGACAACAUUACAACCUCUCUGGCAAACCGUCCUUCUUUCUUGAUAAUCUCCUCUGGAGUUUCUCCUCUAUGAACAACUUUAAUUGCAACAGUCUGGUUUUUGUAUCUGAUUCGAAUCCAAAAGGCCGAAAUCAAAAGAAGUGAGAUAACUGCAGCACAACAAAUCUCCAAAUUGAACCGUAAUUACUUGCAAGCUGCAAUCUAAUCACUUAAGAAACUCAUUUUUCGCCGUCAAGCCAAACUCAACAGAUACUUCUACAGAACAACAAUUCACAGAAAACCUAACCAUUUCCGGGAUCUUAUCAAAAUUUGAAUCUAACCAUUAAACCAGAUUAAAUUUUCAGCAAAACCCAAAAUACAGUUGAGAAUGCAAAACAAGAAAAUGUAUUGAUAAUCGCCACAAGAAAGCAAUUGUAGUUCAUCUAAUCUAAACAAGAUGAGCCAAAAACUUGCAAAUCUAAACAACAUUACUAUCAGCUGAAGCGAAAAGGCGAACCGCAGAAAUGCCAUUGGCAACAAAUCAAGACACACAAGGUCUCCAGUGCAGACCAAAGAAUUCAAGUGCAGAAAUCGAAAACUCGAAAAAUCAAAAGAUUGAAAGUGAAGUGAGGGUGAAGCUGUACAACUUACUUGCCCUCAUAGACUUUGGCAUGAGCUCCCUCACCAAUUCUUGGCCCAACAAAGAGAUGCUUAGGAUCAAUCAGCCAUUUGGCAUCCAGUCUGAACUCAUCAGCUGAGUAAAACCUACUCCCAGAUUCCAUCUUUCUACACAACCCAACAAUCCAACAUCAAAGCCCAACAUUAUCACACAAUAUCAGAAACCCAAAAGCCAAAAAGCACUUUUUCAGAAGCUAAUGCAUUCAUUGAUUCUGUGUGAGUGGAUAAGCUGACACAAAGGGGAAAGCAGCAUCCCAAAGCUCAUAAAACUCACAGGAGGGAGAUGGAAGUACUUACAUGUCCUUGGAGGAGGCAAAAGCAUGGAACCCCACAUGUCCUACCAGAGAGGAGAUUGUGACAGCAAAAGCUCAAUGCCCAAAGUGCUAUUUUUUUUUCUUGGAAAUUUUUUAUGGGGAAGUGAGAAAAUAUCCCUCAGAAGGCAAAACCAGAAGCUUAGCAAAAGCACGUCCCCAAGUGAUAACUAGAGUGCUGCAAACAUAUACUAGUUUGAUUGAAAUUCCAUGGUCCCCGUCAUAGAGAUUAAAUAAAUGGGAUUUGGGGAUUUAUUAAUCUCUGAGGGCCACGGUGCUUUCAGUCUUGUUCUGCAAAUGGAAUCAUGGGAAGGGAGAGAGCCUAAAGAUCAAGUUUUUAAGAACGUGAAGGCGCGGGGGUGUGAAAAGAGAGCGAGAGGAGACAGAGGGGAGUGUUGAAUAUUGCCUCAAAAUGACAUAAAGUGUUUUUUAAAUUAAUCGUUAGUAAAAAUAUAAGUGAAUUUAGAAAAAAAAAUCACAAAAAAAAAAAAACAUUAUAAAAACAUUUUCAGUCAUUUCAAAUAUAUUUUCAAACGAGCUCAUGUUGUAGUUAAGUGGGCAGAGGAAACUGUCAUAUGACAUUUCGAACUAACACUUUAGUUGAAUUGACCCUCUAAAUUAAUUUUUAGGAAAAUUAAUGAAAAUGAAUGGAAAAUUUUAAGUUUUAACGAAAAUGACAAAAUAAAAGAUAAAGUGAAUAGUAUUAUAAUUGACUUUUUAGUGUAAAAAUAUAAUUUUCGUUAAAGUGAAUAGUACUAUGAGUUGUUCGUUAAAAUUUCCUUAAUUUUUUGAUAAAUUAAAGACCUAAACUUUUGUAAAGUGGCCAAUUUAUCCCUUUACUUAUAGACUCUAUCCGCUCAAAUUGAAGGGCCUUAAUCUUUCCAAUAUUUUUUCUUACAUGUCACCUAGGACAACCAACUAAAUAAUUAAAUAUACAUGCCAUAUUUUAAUUGAUAGCUCUAGCUGAUACAUGGAUGUAUUAAGACUUAAGAGCAACUCCACCAGAACAAUUAGCCUGAUGGACCAGCAACGUCACCAACCCAAUAGCCAGAUCUACAAGCUCCAGCCUAGAGGGCAAUUGGGCAGGCAGGGGGGGCCGAGUGAGAAGCCCAGCUUGAAUCGAUGGCUCGAGAGCCCGAGGGCCAAGUGAUGCAAUGCUGACGUAAGGGUGGCGUCAGCCACUAUUUUAUUAUUUUUGCGUCAGGCGCGUGCACAACACACUCGCAUGAGGGCGCGUCCCGACAACAUUUCAGAAGCCUGGGGCCCGCGAUGCAGACGAUAGAAUGUUACCGUUGGUGGCCACAUGGCUUUUUCUCGUUCGUUGGAUUUUAACGGUUACUUGUUCUGGACCAUUGGAUUUCCAACGGUAAAAAAAAAUUUGAAACUUUCUUAAAUAUCAGCCAUUGGAUUUGAGAUCAACGGUCCACGUUAUUCGCCUUUAUAAAUUAAAAAAAAAAGAAUUAACAUUAAAAAAAUCUGAAAAGUUAUCGUUGUGCCACGUGGCACAUUCUAGAGGGUUGGUGUAAACACGAAUUUUUCCUGAAACGAAAGAGACAAGAACAACGUGUACAAAAUAAUAUUUGUAUUUGAUGAUUUUGGGUUACAAUCUCUCUCAAAUUUGAUCAUCUGAUUCGAUCUAUGUAAGGUGUUGAUUGUGGAUGUGCGAUUGAUCCAAAGGGCCGUUGGGCUUGAUCUAAGGAUGAACGUUCUUCAAGGGACGUGGGCUUGAUCUUGAAGGUGGAUUUGAGCGGAUUUUCAAGGAGUCGUUGGGGCUUGAUCUUGAGGAUGAGCG
RNAcentral lists this long non-coding RNA (45574 nucleotides) under Malus domestica (apple). RNAcentral describes it as "long non-coding RNA (MDOM_LNC014258)". The record is from RNAcentral. Lineage: Eukaryota; Viridiplantae; Streptophyta; Magnoliopsida; Rosales; Rosaceae.